UUUUUUUUUGUCUGCAACGAAUUCUAGUGCUGUGUAUAUUGGUUUUUAGUUAAUCCUAGAUUAAGUUUACCAAACGUACUUGCAUUACAACAAGUGGACUUACAGGCUAAAGAGUUAGGUUAAAUUAGAAUAGUAGCAGUAACCAAACAUAGCUGAACGAAGAAGCCUUGAUUUUAUCAUGGCAAACCGUACUGCAUAUGUACCGAUGAAAGGAUGUGCUGUGGUGCUCUCGGUGUACGGCUUUAUUGUGCUAAUAAAUCUGCUGAUACUACGCUAGCUACUAUACAUGUUGUAGCGCAGUGGUGAACAAUGAUUUCUACACCUGCCCCCAAUCCAUUAUUGAGGGUGUAAUUACGGAAAUGAAUGGCCAAGUAGGUGCAGUGCUCAUUGUGUCCUGUCCUCCUCAAUUAAAUUAAGGGUAUACAGUAAUUUUCCAAGCUAUAUCGAUCUGCUUCCAGCUCCAUAUAUAGAUCUUCUAGAAGAAACUCUGCAUCGCAUAAGACUGGGCUCACUCUAGCUACCAUCGUAUGAAGUUCUAAUAUCGGGAGCAUAACCAUAGAAACUACAUUGAUAGCAUGCAUGUACUCAGGGUUCCAAAUUUCCCGCUGAAAUUUUAUGAAUUUCGAUAAUUUCAGUGGCGACCGAAAGAAAAUUCCGAAAUUUACUAUUUGACUUGUCCAUACGCUUUAUUGUAAACAUAGUACUCUAGAUUCAUAUUUUCUAUUAUUAUUUAUGUUGCAUAUUCUUCCGUGUAUAUCCAUAAAUCAUACUAAUCAUUUGUUCAGAUCCAAAAAAGUUUGGUAAAGAUUCUAAAAACGUUUCAGCAAAAUUUCAGUUGAUUUCGUGAAUUUCGGAGGUGAUUGAAAAAAUCCGAAACUGAAAUUGUAAACCCUGCAUGUACUUAGAUUCUAGCUUUUCUAUUGAAUAGGCACCAUUGUUCCUCCACCAUGUGUGUUUUUGUUUGUUGUAAUAAGGGUGUUUCUCUUGGAUGUGUUCAUGGAGGUAGGACGAUGCGUGCAUGUAUAUAUUACUUUAUGUGUCCUACUUCAAAAUCCAAUGAAUUUAUGAGCCUAAGAAAAUGUUUUCCAAGACAAAUUGGCAUUUAAACUUCUGUAUUUCAAAACAAAAUACUUUAAAAAUUUUAUUUGAACUCGAAUUCUAAAAAGAUUGGUUGCACUACAAGGUUUUGUUACUAGCGCAACGGCACGAAAUCGUUGCAAUAGGGGUCAUUUCGUUGCAAUAGGGGUCUAUUGCAACGAUUUCGUGUCGUGGCACUAAAAAUCAUGUCAUCGUGUAAAAAGGCGUUGCAAUAUGCUAUUACAAUGACACAGGCAGCCGUCGCAAUAAGGUUGCAUUAUUGCGACGACGUGUGUCAUCGCAAUAAGUGGAUAUUACAACGCCCAUUGUUAUUGCAAUAGUGGCUAUUGCAACGGUAGGUGUCGUUACUAUAGAGGCUAUUGCAACGACAUUGCGCUGUUGCAAACAAGCGAUAAUGCAACGUAAGGAUGUUUAUUGCAAUACGAGAUCUAUGCUGUUGCAAUAUGCUAACAGGCUAUCUCAACGAAAUACUAGUCGUGGCUAUAUGCGUCAACCGUAUCCCAACGAAAUAUGGGUCGUCGCUAUAUACUCAAUGGAUAUCGCAACGGCGAGAAAGCGUCGUAAUAGGCGUACAAGGUAUCGCAACGAUGUGCGUGCUGUCGUUAUAUGCUUCAACCAUAUCGUCACAAAAUGUGUCGUGGUUAUACGCUCAAUGGAUAUAGCAACGACGUAAAAUCGUUGCAAUAGGUGGUACAAGGUAUCGUAACGAUGUUUAACAGUGGUUAUAUGUUUCAACCAUAUCGCAACGACAUAUGCUGUGGUUAUACGCUCAAUGGAUAUAGCAACGACGUGAAAUCGUUGCAAUAGGGGUACAAGGUAUCGCAACGAUGUACGUGCCGUCGUGAUAUGCUUCAACCAUAUCGCAACGGAGUAUGUCGUGGUUAUAUGCGUACAGGGUAUUGCCACACAAUAUGGGAUGUGGUUAUACGCUUAAUGAAUAUCGCAACGGAAAAUAUGUCGUCGUCAUAUGCUUGUUGGUCGUCGGCUAAAACGGAAAAUCCAAAACAAUAAUUGAUGCCACAUAUAUAUCAUUAAUUAAAUCAAUCCAUCGUUCAUGCACACCAUUCAUGAUAAAACAGAAUAUUCGACACAUGAAUAACCUCCUGAAUAACCUAAAAAAAAUAUAGGUUCAUAUUAUUACUAUCAACUAGUAUUAUAAAAACUGAAUCAAUAUAUGUACUAAUAAUUGAAUAACUCAAGUUUUUCAGCAUGCAUAUUAAUUAAUUAAUUAAUUGCGAUAGGUCUGGAUUGAUUUUAUACCUUGCAUUGAGAGGAUGGAAUCGGACAAUGCCCGUGUCAUCCCGCGCGUCGAGAAAUCGUAGAGGACUAACAAGGGGACCCUUCAAUUCCUUGGCACUCGACAACUCGCGAGCUAGGGAUCGGAAGACGACGUAUGGCAGGCAGCGACCGCGCGAUGAAGGGAAGGAGUCGUGCGAAGAAGGAGGGGAGGCGACGAGAACGUGGAGGACUAACAAGGGGACUCUUCCUUGGCACUCGGAAACUCACAUGCUAGGGAAGACGAUGGUAGGCGGCGGUCGCGCGGUAGCAUCACGCGAGGAGAAGCGGAGGAGAGGAGUCGUGCGAAGAAGGAGGGGAGGCGACGCUAGGACGACAUAGACCAAGAUUAGACCUCUCAGCUUGUGAAAGAAAGGCCUGCCAUAUGUGUGGGCCAAAAUAAAGGCCCACGAACAUAACCAAGCUAGCGGCACCCACAAACUCAUCUAUUGCAACUAUGCGUUCCCCUAUGUUGCAACGACUAUAUAUUAUUGCAAUAGCACCUCCUGUACAGCAACGGUUUCAGUAUUUGUUGCCAUAACCAAGAUUUCUUUUGCAACAAUACCAUUUUCGUUGCUAUAUCUAAUACUAGUUGCAACGAUUCAUAUUAGCGCUACAAUAUCUAAGACUCAUUUGCAACAUUCUAUAUUUUCAUUGCAAUAACCAAGAUUUCUUUUGCAACCACACUAUUUUCGUUGUAAUAACCAAGAUAUCUUUUGUAACAACACUAGGUUCGUUGCUAUAUCUAAGACUCUUUUGCAACGCACGAUAGUACUUAUCGCAACGUGUUAUAAUCGUUGCAAUAUGGACAACUAAUUGCCACCACUAUAAAAUAGCGUGGCAAUACGUCGCCGCAAUUACAACCAACAAAUAUUUGUUGCGAUAUAGCGUGCCUAUUGCAACGACUAAGUUGUUAUCGCAAGGCUACACAAAUGGUGGCAUUAUGACACACCUAUUGCAAACAAAACGGACUAUUGUCGUAAUAACCCCUAUAUAUUGCAAUGAAAGUCGCCUGUUGCAAAAAAGAUUGGUCGCAUUAGUGACAAAACCUUGUAGUGUUGGGGUCUCUCCAAAAUGCUAAGUACUCUGUAUUGGAGCGAGGAGAGAGGUUAGUAUAAACUAGUCUCACAUACCGUUGUGCGACAAUAGUGGCAUGUAAGGGAACAAAAUUUUUAAAUAAUGCCCAUGAAAAGAAAGCGAAUAAAGGGAUCGCUAAAAUUUCCAGUGACAUUCAAGAAAUUUAAUUUUCUCUACUACAAACUUGUUAUUUGAUCUUGCCAGAGAGUUGAAAAUCUGUUUCCGUUUGGAGCAUACCAAUGUUUUCAUCCAACAAAUACGCAGCGGAGAAUUAGUUUUAAAAGAUGUUUAAACCAAAUCAGUUGAAAUUUAGAUUUGUUAAGCAAAUAAGCAGCAGUGAUUUCAUCCUCAAAGAUUUCAUCUCUCCACAUUCUGUUUUGUUUCAGGCCCGUCGAGCCCUGCGCGCGCUGCGCGGCCUAGUGCGGCUGCAGGCGCUGGUGCGCGGCCACCAGGUGCGGCGGCAGGUCCACCUCACCAUGCGCUGCAUGCAGGCCCUCGUCCGCGCCCAGGCCCGCGUCCGGGCGCGCCGCCUCACCGACCUCCCGCUCCUCCUCCCGCCGCCGACCCCUCCAGCCACGGCCAGCCGCCCCUCCCUGUCCCUGCCGGGAGCAGCACGCCAUCACCACCAGCCGUGCCUCGACCUGGCGUCGGUGGGCGGCGGUGACCACGACGCCAGCGACGACGGCGAGGUGGCAGCGGACCUGCUGCUUCUGCAGCAGCGGAGCAGGAGCAGGGGCAGGCUCGGCCGCGGCGACGACGUCAACGGCGGCGGAGGGAGGAGCCCUUCUUCCGCCGGCGGCUGGGACGGGAGCAGCCGCACCCUGGAGGACGCCAGGGCCGAGGGCGCCCGCCGCCACGACGCCGCCGCGCGCCGAGAACGGGCGCUUGCCUACGCCUACGCGUACCAGCAGCGGCAGUGGCAGCGGCAGGAGGACGAGAAGGCCGGCCUGGGCUUCCACUGGCUCGAGCGCUGGAUGGCCGCCACGCAGCGGCAGCCGGACGCGCCGGACCACGCAAUGACGACGCACCAGGGCGCCGCCACCAGGACGACGGCGUCCUACGCCUACGUGACGGCGGCCAGUGCUUUCUCCGGCGGCGUGCCGGAGAAGACGGCGGAGGUGGACACGUCGCUCCGGAGCCAGCUCAACCAGGCCGCGCACGGGCGGCGGCCGCCGGCGAUCCCGGGCUACAUGGCCGCGACGAGGUCGGCACGCGCCAAGGCGCGACCCGCGCCGCCGAUGCCGACCACGCCGACGCACGGCAGGAGCCGCUCCGGCGGCGGGCUCGCCGGGGACACGUCGAGUUCGGGCCAGAACGGCAGCGCACUCGCCGGAUACAGCCCGGACUCGAGCUGCACGGGGGACUGGACGCCGCCGCGGCUCGGCGUCAGCACGCGCCCGAGCAGGGUGGCCUAUACUUGAGCUCGACUUGAGCCUGGCCUUCAAGACAAAACCCAUUGCGUCGUCAUGAGUCUUUGGGACGUGUUCGCGACUCAUUUUUGAAUGUUUUUGUUGUUCGCGACGUAUGUAACUACUAUGUAUAGCUUGAUGUGUUUGCGCCGGUGCCUCGUGCCUCUGUAAACGCCUGAGCCUGAAUACUUGGCUAAAGGAUUGCGAACAAAAACUCGAGAAUUCUAAAUGAGUGGUUAUUAUGGAUGAAUUGAGAUCGAAGCUUUUGUUUAUCUUCUUCCAAACGAUGAUUCUGUCGUUUAUAUCGUACUAGUUUGUUUCUUUCUUGGCCCCAAAGCAGAUUUUUUGACUUCUGAAUAAUAUUUGGAGAACAAAGUUGUGUCCUCUGAAUCCAUACUGCUUUCAGUUGUUAUAGCUUAUGCACGAGCAAGUCGGAAGCAAAAAGCGUUCUGAUGAGGAAAAUGUGUUGAAAUUAAUAAAACUUCAUUUAUCGGAAAAAUGAGAAAAAUGUGUACUUUAUUCAUGUUGAACAGCAAUACAAUACACACCCUGCAUGUUAGAGGAAAUAAAAUAAAAUGCACAUCCUCACUGGAUUGCAGAAAAUGACUUGCCUCCCACUAACAAAACCUAAGGGGGCAAGUUACAAAACAAUUCCCUGGAGGACCAGUCUGUAAUGUCCAGCCUCUGCAACUACAUUUUUGCUGGAAGCACUAUAUGGCUUUAUCUCUCUGAAUUCACACUUGUCCGAAGAACGAAGAACAACUGCAACCGUUCGCUGGCUAAUUACUCUGCAAGAUAAAUUUCUUGUCAAUUUCUAGUCUACCAAAAGCAUAUUUAGGACAGGAAAGGAGUCAGUCAAACAGUAUUUACCUAUAGCGUGGAAGCAGAAACUCUGACAGGCUUCAAAACUCUUAGGACCCUCCUCGCGUGCUCAAGAAUAAAGUAGAACACUCCAAACAAGAAGAGCAAGAUAAGUUGGAGCUUUCCGAGUAGAUUGUGUGUAACUCUGAGGUAAUUCACCAUGUCACCAUCUCGUUUACGGAGAAAACCAGCUGAUCCAGCAAACACCAGAAAUCACUUCGGUUAUCUAGUUUAAGAAAAAUAUUUAUUUUGAUGUUUUUACGUUCAUAUCAGAGUCAUUCAAAUUGCGAUUUGGCAGUAAGUACAUACCAUCGGACUUCUUUGGAAGGUUUGACCAGUCCUCUAGGCCUGUACUCGAUUUUGAAGCCUUGAUCAUCUCCAUGAGGGACAUAUUAACCUGCAAGCGAACUUGUCAGUUGAAAAAACUUGAAUCGCUUAUUUUCAUGAUUAUCUGGAGAAGAAUAGUGAGAAAAUCAACAAAAUUCAGAAGUCUGACAAAUGCUAUGUUUACCUCAGCUGGUCUUUCAUGGCUCACUAGGUGGCCUCCAUGGAGCUCAGUUAGCUUGGCAGCAGGCUGUAGCUUUUCUGCAAGCCUCCUUGCAUAAUACAGCUGAGCAACAACAUCAUCCCUGUCGGAAUGUCACCAUAUAGGUGAUCAGUAUUGUGUGGAUUAGUGGACCAUAACGGGAUUGCCAGAGAUUUCGGUUACCUGCCAUGAAUAAUUAGAACAAGGAAACCUGCUAAGCGAAUCCUGUCUAAUUCUUUCGUUGAGAGCUUAUGUGUCCAGCAAGCAUUCAUUUGCCCCUCGAAUCCAUGUCUGGAUUGCAUGCCACCAGAUGACAAACCUUUAACAUAUUCCUAAAAAUUAAAAAAAACAUACUUAAUCAGAUAUGGGUAUAUGACAAGUGGCAUGUGCAAGAGCUAACAGGUUGUUUUGCAUCUUUAGCUUUGAUGCAUUCUUGUACUUUAGAUAUCGUAAGUGUCGUGUCAUCUUUGUUACGACCUAAUCUAGUUUCAUAGAACAUGUAAACGAUGUCAGGUUCAUUAUGUACUGGAGAAAAUUUAGUAUAUCUACAGAUAUGCAUUAGAGUUCACUUCCUUCACUGUGUCACCAAUUUCUUAUGAAUGUCAUGCAACAUUGUCCUACAAUGCAUCAAAAUUUGUUACCUUAUAAAGCAUUUGUCUUCUGGUACAUGAUCCAAUAGCUUCCUCAAGGUAUUCCUGCAAUGUGAUAUGAUUCGUAAAUUGGUUUUCUUUUGCAUAUAAUAAGCUGGUCGUAAUAUUGAUAGAAGAAAAAUAAGUGACCACGAACCGUUGUAUAAUGGACUUCAAGAUCAAGAAUCGCUCUCUGCUCAGGAGUUCUUGCCCGUAGAAAACGAUAGGCGAGAGAUAUCGUGUGCCAAUCAACCUGGAAAGGAAAACGUAAUUGACAUCAGGAUCAAGUUUAUUUUUUAUCCUCUUAAUAACCAGGCAAGUGCAAGUGCAGCGACAACAACAAAGAAAUAGUUUACCAAACACAACAGCUGACGAUGGCUAAACAAAAACAGAGUCUGGCUGACCAACCCAUUGAAGAGUUCAAUGGACCUUUUGCGAAGAACGUGAGUGCAUUUGUUUAUUAGUAAAACGAAAAAUACACGGCGUCAAACCUUUUCCAUGUCUAUGUGGCCACUCUAACUUGGGGCAAAAUGAUAAAGGGGGCAAGAUUGUGUUCAAGUAUGUAGUGCUUUUUUUUUCUUUUUUUUAAAAAUGGAAUGUUUGAAGUGUUCUAAAUCGUAACCAGCUAAAGGUAUCCAAAAAAUCUAUAUGCUACAAAAGUCGAUGUGUUGAUAUAUCUGUCCAAGGAGAUUUAUCCAUAUGCUACAAAAUAGUCCAAAACUUCAAAACUCUAGCUUUCUGAAAUAUAGUGCAUAUAAGUAAGGAGGUCGUGAUCAUGUUGCAAAAGAUCCUAGCUUUCAAGCAAAUCACUAUCACGAAAUCUAGAGGUAAAUUGAUUUUUCCUUAUCCAAGAAAAACUAAAUCAGUUUUGAUGUUUGCACAUAAGAGAUGUCCACAUUGUAACACUGAAUUCAAUGCGACCAACUAGAUGCUUCACACCCAUGCUUCCCUCAAUUUGGCGUGACAAAGUCAUUACCAAUUGUUGAUUCUAGCCAAUUCUGACUCUUCCUCCCCGUGCUAGUCAAUGUCGGCUGGCAGAUUUUCGAUUUUACCGUCGAAUUUACGUAUCAUGUUUCGGUCGAUUUUUCCAACCCAAUAAUGAGCAAUCCAGAAGCCGGAGAAUGGAUAGCAGAAAGCAACGGUGGAGACACAACAAAAACCCACGGAAAAUAUCCUCCAUCUGAUCGUGACUGAAGUCUCAGACAAAUGGAGUUUUUUUUCUGAACCGGUUGAAAAGAAAUGCUAAAAAGUGACAUGAUUUGCAGUAUCUGAAUUGCUGGGCGACCACACCUACCUUUGGGAUGCACUGGUAGCCUCCUCCGGUGGUGUUGAGCAGCGCCAGCGACGCGACCCGGUCCGGCGCCAUUGCGGCCAAUUUCGAAGCUAUCAUUGCCCCUGUUUCAGAUACAGUUUGUCAGGCGACGCUCAUAAACACAAAAUCUUCUGCAAGACCAAUGAAGAACAUGUGCCUCACCCAUGGAGUGGCCGAAGACAUGCACUUUUCGCCAUCCCAGAUGAUCCAGGAGUGCCAAUGCAUCCUUCGCCAUGGUCGCCGUCCUGCCAAGAAAUUGAGCAACAGCAUGAACAAUAUCGUCAGGAACAUUGAGGCUGCAAGAAUCUGUGUCGCCGUCGGUAAAGCGAACGGAAACGAGUGGAGAAGAGUGUGAAGAGGGAAAUCAUCGCGAUGCACGCACGUGUACUGCGACUUUUGUGCCGGCACGGAGCUCCGGCCCAUGCCGCGGUUGUCGAAGCAGCAGACCUCGACGCCCUCCGCCGCGCCGGAGUCGUCGUCGGCCGGGGCCUCCUCGUCGACGGGCUCCACGGCGCCGGUCAGGCCCUUCACCUGCGGGCCCCACGACUCGUACGUGCCCGCGAAUCCUGCGUUCCAAUUGGGGAAAAAUCUUAGGAAAGUUGCUCCGUGUUUCUUGGUCGGUGACAAACGAAACAAACCAAGAGCUAUUGCAGAAACGAAGCAGAAAACGAGGAGGAAAAUGUGCAAGCCAUACCGAUGAUGAGAAGGACCUUGGUGGCGCCAUGGCCGUACCGCUGGUAGAAGAUCCGCACUUCCUCCUCCGGCGUGUGGGCGCCGCCGGCAACGGCCGCCGCCGCCGCGGUCAACACGCAGUACGGCAUCCUCCCUCCUCGCUCCCGCCAAGAACAAGACUACAAGAAGAGCAGCAGGAGCUCUCGCUCGCCUCCUCGGUCACUUCGCCUAUAUCACCAUCAACAACCAAAUACUCCGAAUCGGAGGGAGGGACAAGACAAGAUUAUGUCUGUAAUAACGAUCCGUCCGGCCGACUUGGCGGAUCGAAGCACAGAUUCCAGGACGAGGCGGAGGCGUGGAAAGGUUUAUCUUGACGAAGCCGACACGGAGACGGAGGAGGAGAGGGUUGGCGGAAGCGGGAACGAAAGGAGAGGGGAACACGAACGAAGACGACGACGUACUCGACUCCGAAAUAAAACAAUCGAUCGGGAUGCUCAGUCAAACCAUAGUUUGACCGCGUGCGGGCGCCACAGAGAUAACGCGGGAGCUGUGGUGGCCUGGUGGGUCCCCUUCCAGGAUCCUCUCUGCCUCUGGGACGUGGGCCAAGGCAGAGUGGAGAGUGGUUCAAGUCAAGCCUGACGUGCCCGUUCUGUUCUCGGAGCGGCCAAGUAAACAAUCUACCCUUUUUAAUAUAGAUGAACAAUCUACCUAUUUGGUUGGGAUUAGCUCUGUGAAAAUCUACACUAACAAAAUUUGUAGUUUGCCGGGGAAAUACUUGCAUGUUAAGUUUACAUCCUUAACAAUUAAAAAGAGAAUUAUGUACAAAUAGUCAACAACAAGAAUGUACACCAGAAAAGCAGUUCCCAAUUUUUAGGAGACAAGAAAGGUUAUAAUUCCAAAAUGCCCAUGCUGCACCCACCAACACACCCAUUUUUUGAGGAAAAAAAUCUCCUAAAAACAUUUCUAUGAUACGCGUGCUAAACAGAUUUCUCAAGAAAUAAAGUUAUCCUAUAAGAAGUUAUCUGGACAAAUUACACAUAAAGAGCCGUUUUGGUAGGGAUUCUCAAACAGCUUCUCCACCGAUUUUUGGUGAAGUCCUACCAAAGAGCCAAAUUCAAAACGGCUCUACAAUUGAAGCUAGGGAGAAGCUGCAAAACGGCUUACACUAAAGAGAAGGAGCCAAAAAAGUGGUUUCACCGGCUUAUCCUCCUCUCCAAGCAUUAAGACCCCCUUUGACAGGGCUUUUGCUGCGGCUCAACGGACAAUUUCUGUUGAAGUUGUACCAAACGCUCUUUCAAAAAACAGCUUCGGAGGCGGAGCACCCAAGUAGCCGGUCUCCAAUUUGUACUAACGAGGCGAAGCCGAAAAAACUAGCUCUCUGCAGCUCCCUCCUCGUAUGUCCACCAAUCGUUACGAAACUACCCCUGAACUUUGUUGUAAAUUACACCUAAAUUGCCACCGCCUCCCUGAAUCAGUACAACAUUUUCAUCCCAUGAACCGUUCAUCUCUAUCCGCUUCUCUCCCUAUCACGGUCAGGUAGCAGUGGGUGAAAUGGAUGAAGGGAAGGUGGCUCUGCCGGCCGAAAAGGGGUUCCGGUGGCUGAAAGGGGUGGAUCUGGUGGUGAGCUCCAAGAUACGACCAACGGAGGGACUAGCGGCACCCUGUUCGUGUGGUAGGAAGGCCUGCUGAUGGCCCCCUAGGUGUGCUCUUUGCGGCUGCAGGAUUGCCUCCUAGCGCACCGAGGACACGCCUGGAGGCGCAGCCACCGCGGGGACGGACGGUGCCGCCCAGACUGGCCUAUCUCUUGGAUCUACCAGAUGAUCUAGGAGACGUACAUCAUGUGUUCCAUGUGUCUCAACCCAAGAAAUGCCUGAGAAUACCAGAAGAACAAACACCCCUAGAAGUAAUGGAUCUACAACCUGACCUACAAUACCAAGAAAGGCCCAUAUGUAUUUUGGAUACAACAAUACGGCAAACAAGGAGGACAACAUCAAGGUUAUGUAGAGUACAGUAGAGCAAUCACACACAAGUAGAAGCCACCUGGGAAAGAGAAGAAAACCUUAGGAAAGAAUUCUCCUACCUAUUCGAAAGACCAGUCGAAUCUCGAGAACAAGAUUUAUUUUAUGUGGGGUAGGUCUGUAACAUCCUAAUUUUCAUAUGCAUUUAAAAUAUGAACCCCAAAAUUUUUUCUUAAAAUUUACCUAGCAAUUCAAACCCUAGAGCCUUGUAUUUGAAAUUAUGCAUUGAAAUAUAAUUUUCAUGAACUCAUGUGCAUAUGUUUGAGCUAACUAUUCCCUCUGCUCCAAAAUAAUUCACCUUAACAUUCGUUCCAAGCCCUUACAUCAAAACCAAUUCAAAUUUAAAAUUGCAUUUCAAAUUUGAACUUAAAACACCUCACCAACUAAAAGGAAAGGCCAUUUAAACCUACUUGGCCGGCAACCUCGGAACCAGCCCCCCUUUCCCUUUCUGGCCCAGCUUGUCCCGCCCCUCCUUCCUCAAAUGCACACACGAAGGCCCAUCAACCGGCCAAGCUAGCAACCCCAUCAUCCCCUACGUUCGGUUCCUCCCCCCUUCCCUCUCCCUCGCCCGUGCGCGACAUCACGUCGGCUGUGCAACGCACCCGACCCUCUGGCCACCUUCCCCACUUGCCCUAGAGCGCGCCGCUAUCGCCUACACCCCCUUUGUCCCCUUCGUGAGUGUGGCGGAACCACCUCGGAUUAGCUUGAUUAAGCAAGGUUAAGUCGCCUAACAUGCGACACUCCUGCUUAAACCGAGCUAACACGGGGUGCCGUCGAAUUUCAUCCGAUUUAACCACUUAACAGGAUCGAGUUUAGCAAACCCACACGAAGGUGAGUGGUUACAGAGAAUACAACAAGUCCACUGAGUUAAACAGGUUUCACCUAUUUUAGUUCAAUCCUAAAUUCCAACAUCAGAGUUUUAUGAAACAAAAGAACAACAGAGGAAACACUAGCGGAAGACUUCGUCGGGGUCGGAUGUCCGGGCGAGGCCAGCCAGAACAUCACUGAGUCCUCUCCUCGCCGUCCGAGGAGGGGUCCCACUCGACCGUCCAGCCUGGCGGGAGCUGGGGCGACCAAGCACCAACCAGAGAGGGGUCGGACGCGGCAACUUCACUUGAAACAGAAGCCACAACAAGGCUGAGCUACUAAGCUGAACAAGACUUAACCGAUAGGAGUAAGGACUACUCCUCCUUCUAGACAUGCAAGGCUUCUUAGCUGAGGGGUUUGUUUGCCAAAAGCACUAAGUAACCCUAUUUCAAGUUUUAGCUCCAGUUCUAGGUUCACUUACCAUUCUAGGUUGUGCAACCUAUUCUAAGCAAUCAUAGAGCCAAACAUGAUGUGUAAACAUAACAACAACAUUGCCAUCAUCAGAUUCCUUACUUACUCAGGGUGACAUAGCGAUCAAGCAAUCUCAAACUGUGAGAGGCAGACGAAUCGAUUCGAGUUCUUUAACCAUGCAUGGUGAACCUAGCCUCACGACAUCCGCGCACCCGGAGGUCGCUUCCUGUGUCGGCCUUCCCCAUCAAUCCCCUAACCCGUGUCGGGCCCAUUUCCUUUGGUGCAAGGUCCCACAGACUCGGCCUCUGCCGUCCUGUGACCACACAUUGCCACCACGUGCGACAACCAGCAGGGGAAACUCCGUUCCAAGAACAAUGGGGCGACCGCUCACGUCUAGGUUCAAUCCGGUACUAGGCUUCCUCAUCCCAUACUAAGUAUGAGGCUAGUACUUUCAAACACUUGAUCACGAACACCACCACUGUCGGGCCUUAGCAAAAUUUUCAUAGACAGACGGGGCGACCAUCCGACCACCAAAGAGUUACCCAAAACGUGCCCCGUCCAUCGUCCUUAUGGUUAUAACAGGAGAGUAAACAUGCAACUCCUAUAACUCGCGAGUGACAGGAAAUCACUCGGCUUUUACCGUUUUCCUAGUUAAGCAAUGCAGCUACUCGGUCCAACAGCUAGUGCUCAGAUCAUGGGUCACUGAGUCAUGCAUCUAGGGUUUCACAUAACUCCUAUACGUAAAUGCACAAGCAUGUUACAGAAGGCAUGCGCAAGACUGGUAAAACACGUAGGACUUUGAUGCAACCGGGGCUUGCCUUCAAGCAAGGAGGACGGAAACUGCUCGGCUUCGGGGGCGACUUCGGCUUCGGAGGGCAGAAGCUCGGCUACAGCUUCUUCUUCGGGCGCCGGAUGAAGCUCGUAGAAACCGUCGGCGAGGUGCAGCUCUACACGAAUGUAAUGCAAGUGUUAGCUUAGACGGUUAGUUCAACAGCAACACUGGCUCGCCUGAGCCCAGAAACUCGCGACAACGAGCAGGUGGUGAUGGUGGUUCAAGAGCUGAUGGUGAUCAAAAGGUAAGGGUAGAAGGAACUAGUGGUCUGAUCCUUGCACUAGAGGAUGUGAGAAACUAGGGGUCCUUAGACGCAAGCGCUGAAGGGUUCCCAAGUUUUACACAUACACCCUCGAGUUGAAGAAAAAGAUCACAGCCAAGCCCUCGGGCGAGGCGGAUAAGGGUCGGCAGAACAGACAGGGUCGGGCGAGACGGAACUGAGGUCGGGUGGAUAGGAGGGGUCGGGCGAGGCGGACUUGGGGUCGGCAACUCACCUUCUUCCUGAAAGGAAGGCUUGGGGUCGGGAAGAGGCAGACUUGGGCGGAGGGACUAAAGCUUCGAGCAAGGGCUGAGACUGGCAAUACUCCGGCGGCAACGCUGCUUCUUGCGGAACACAAGAGAGCUCUUACGCAGCACGGGGGAGCAAGCUGCUGGGUGACUGGAGGAACUGAGAGGGAACCGGGAGAAGAACUCCUCAAGAACUGGGUGGAUGGCGCUAGGAGCUUGAGCAGAGGGAUGGAGAAGCUGAAGGCAACAGAGGCGGAGGGAACUCCGGCGACGGGGGCAUUCCUUUUAUAGCUGCUGGAGCAGAGGAACGGAAACGUCACGGAGAGAGAGAAGGGGAGCGGCGCGAAGGCCGGGGAGAAGCAAUGGAGUGCUCUGCCGUGGCGGCGAUUGAGCAACCAGGGCGGUGCUGCAGACCUCCGGGGGUGACGCCAGCGAUCAUUGCGUUCUGCCGUCAGGGCGGCGUAGGGGCGGGUAGAUUGGUGGUUGAGAUUUGGCGGAGAGCGGGCGUCGUCGUGCGGAAGAGGCGAUGGAAGCGACCGGUUAAAUGGCGCUAGAAUCGAGGGCGCACAGGUGAGAAGACAGGCGGACGCGGGCACGGGGGAGAGCACGGAACAACAGAUUGUCGGGCGGCGUCUGACAGAGCGAGGAAAAGAACUGUCGCGGCCGCGGUCGGGGUUGGCGGUGGAGGAAUCGUCGUGUAGCGACGACCGGGCGGCGCAACUGUGGCUGGAAGGGACGGAAAAGACGGGCAACAUCGGGCUCUGGGGCCGGGAUCUGGUGGCGUGAUGAUGGGCGCGGGAGACGAGGUUCUGCAGAAAGGGUGCAGAGGGUUUCCGCUGCUAUUGGGGAAAAAGGGGCGCGGGAACCCACCCUGUUGCUUGCUAGAGACAAAACUGGGCGAUGGCGUCGGAGAAGACGAGCCACGCGGCAGGAAGACUCUGAGGCGGCCAUGCAACUCGAGUGCGGCUGGCGUGGGGGAUCUGGAAAGGAUCUCGCGGGUCCACCGGUGGGUAGAUUGGACGGGUGAGGGAGAUCAGCAGGAUCCGACGGGGAACUGAGCUCGCCGGGGUCGGGAGAGGAGCGAAGCAAGAAGGGGUCGGAUCUCAGGGGUCGGGACUUGGCGGAAGACUGGGCACCUAGGUGCGGUUAAGCAAAACAACUGACUAAGGUUAAGGGCUGAGAUCAAGCCUAACUGGGAAGGAUUAGGGGUCGGUCGUUACAGCCUACCCCUCUUAAAAAGAAUCUCGUCCCGAGAUUCAAGGAUCAAGGGUGUGCUGUUCUUACCUCCUUGAUGGGACAGAAAACCUGGGAAACGCUUGUUCAGAUACUCGUCCGUUUCCCAUGUUGCUUCAUCUUCGGUGUGGUUUCUCCAGAGGAUCUUGUACAUCUUUACCACUUGGCAUCGGGUGUGCCUUUCCUUUUGGUCAAGAACUCGAUCUGGGUACUCGGCGUAGGUCAGGUCGGGCUCUAUCUGAAGCGGUUCUUGUUCUAAGAUCUCUGUUGGAACUCGGACACACUUCUUCAGUUGAGACACAUGAAAAACAUCAUGUAUGGCUGAUAGCUGUUCUGGGAGUUGGAUCCGGUAAGCAACGGGUCCACAUCUCUCCACAAUCUCAUAAGGGCCAACAUAGCGGGGAGCUAACUUGCCCUUUAUUCCAAACCGCUGCACUCCUUUGGUCGGGGAUACUCUAAGGUACACAUGAUCACCAAGGUCGAACUGCAGGGGUCUCCUCCGCUGGUCGGAGUAACUCUUCUGUCGAGAUUGGGCAGCCUUGACAUUUGCUUGAAUUACCUUCCCUUGCUCUUCGGCUUCUGCCACUAAGUCGGGGCCGUAAACCUGUCUUUCUCCUGGUUGGGACCAGUUCAAGGGUGUCCUGCAUCUCCGGCCAUACAGGGCUUCGAACGGUGCCAUCUUCAAACUGGCCUGAUAGCUGUUAUUGUAGGAGAAUUCUGCUAAGGGCAGACACUUGUCCCAGCUUUUAUCGUAGUGGAUAACACAGGCUCUUAGCAUAUCUUCAAGAAUCUGGUUAACUCUCUUGGUUUGGCCAUCGGUUUGAGGAUGAUACGUCGAGCUUCGGAUGAGCUUGGUGCCCAUAGAUGCUUGUAGUUGCUCCCAAAAACGGGCCACAAACUGAACUCCUCGAUCAGAGAUGAUGGUCUUGGGUAUACCAUGUAGGGAAACGAUACGGUCGAGGUACAACUCUGCAUAUUGCUUGACCGUAUAGGUGGUACGAACGGGAAGGAAAUGUGCCGUCUUGGUCAGACGGUCCACUAUAACCCAGAUGGAAUCAUACCGUUGAGUUGUAAUGGGUAAUCCAACUAUGAAGUCCAUGCUGAUGUCUUCCCAUUUCCAAGAGGGGAUAGGUAGCGGCUGCAAGGUUCCUGCUACCUUCAAGUGACUGGCCUUGACACGUUGACAGGUGUCACAUUCCGAAACAUAAUGAGCUAUCUCUGGUUUCAUUCCACUCCACCAAAAGGUUUGACGAAGAUCAUGGUACAUCUUAUUGCUGCCAGGAUGGAUCGAGAACUUGGAGAGAUGAGCUUCGUCUAGGAUUUGCUUCCUCAACUCAGGGUCGGCGGGCACUACUAGUCGGUUUCCAUAAUACACACCUCCUGUUUCGUCCUGACGGAAUUGCUUAUAUCCUUUAUCCUUUACUGAGAUCUUACUGAUGAUCCGUUUUAUUUCUUCAUCCUUAACUUGUGCCGAUCGAAUUUGGUCCUCCAAAAUUGAGUCAAGGAUGAUGUGACCAAGGGUUCCAUGAGGAAUAAUCUCCAAACUUAGUUUUCCCAUCUCGUGACAUAGGGUUUUGGUGAAGGCUGCUGACAGCAAGCAGUUGCAAUGGGGUUUGCGACUGAGGGCAUCGGCCACCACAUUGGCCUUGCCAGGAUGAUAGUGCACUUCCAACUCAUAAUCCUUUAUCAACUCUAGCCAUCUUCUCUGACGCAUGUUGAGGUCGGCUUGAGUGAAGAUGUACUUGAGGCUCUUGUGGUCGGUGUAGAUGUUGCAGUGAGCUCCCAUUAGGUAGUGCCUCCAUAUCUUUAAGGCAUGUAUCACUGCUGCCAACUCAAGGUCAUGUGUCGGGUAGUUUAGCUCAUGAGGUCAUAACGCACGUGAGGCAUAGGCAAUGACUCGGCUGUCUUGCAUAAGAACACAUCCGAGUCCAGUACCAAAGGCGUCACAGUAUACGUCAUACGGCCUAGAGGGGUCGGGUUGAGCCAAAACUGGGGCGGUGGUCAGCAAGUGCUUCAGGGUCUUGAAGGCCUCUUCACACUUGGUGUCCCACACAAACUUGACCUCCUUCUUCAGCAACUCGGUCAUCGGCUUAGCUAUCUUGGAGAAAUCCGGUAUGAAACGCCGAUAGUAACCUGCCAGUCCAAGGAAACUCCUGAUCUAGUGUACCGAGGCAGGAGACUUCCAUUCCAUGACUUCUUGCACCUUACUGGGAUCAACGGCGAUACCAUCUUUGGAGAUAGUGUGUCCCAAAAACUUGACACUAUCUAACCAAAACUCACACUUGGAGAACUUGGCAUAGAGCUGGUGAUCUCUCAGACGUUGGAGAACUAUGUGAAGAUGGUCGGCAUGCUCUUCCUCGUUCUUCGAGUACACUAGGAUAUCAUCAAUGAACACCACGACAAACUUGUCCAGCUCGGGCAUAAACACCGAGUUCAUAAGGUACAUGAAAUAAGCGGGUGCAUUGGUGAGUCCAAAGGACAUGACUAGGUACUCGUACAGUCCAUAUCUGGUAGAGAAGGCUGUCUUGGGUAUGUCGCAAGGUCGAAUCUUGAUUUGGUGAUAACCAGAAUGAAGAUCGAUCUUGGAGAACAUUUUUGCUCCGGCUAACUGAUCGAACAAGACAUCAAUGCGUGGCAGUGGGUACUUGUUCUUGACUGUUACCGCAUUGAGGGGUCGGUAGUCCACACACAUCCGUAAACUGCCGUCUUUCUUCUUCACAAACAGGGCGGGGCAACCCCAAGAUGAUGUACUGGGUCGAAUGAAGCCCUUUUCCAACAGAUCAUGCAACUGGGUCUUCAACACGGCUAACUCAGCGGGUGGCAUCCGAUAGGGUCUCUUAGAUAUCGGGGUUGUGCCAGGAAUCAACUCUAUGGAAAACUCCACUUCUCUAUCAGGGGGCAUACCCGGCAAAUCUUCUGGAAACACAUCAGGGUACUCACAGAUAGCAGGGAGGUCUUCUAGACGGGCUCCCAAGAGAGGGUAAGCACAAGGAGUCGGAGACUCAAGAUGGGUCAAGGAUAGGGUAAAACUGCCAUGAGAGGGUGAACUGAUGUAAAGAGAUCGGGCUGAUGUAUCUAGAACAGCAUGAUGUCGGGCCAUCCAGUCCAUACCAAGGAUGACAUCUAUGCCCUUUAGGUCAAGGAUGAUAAGGUUUUCCUUGAAGAGGGUGGGGCCUAGCUGGAGAGGUACAAGAAUAACGACCUGAUCCGACGUUAUCCUUCCUCCAGGAGUGGCGAUCACGUAGGGUUCCUUAGUGUGACCGACACUUAGCCCACAUCUUUCCCUUGCCUUAUUCCCGAUAAAGCUAUGAGAAGCUCCCGAAUCAAACAACACAACAACAGCUUGAUUUAAAAUGAGGAAAGUACCCGUCAUUACUGACGCACCUUCGGGAAGUUCGGUCAAGCUGGUGUAGUUGAGUCGGCCUUGUCGGACUUGCACCUUGGGCCUUCUUCCUCUGGUUGCCAUGGGGUUCUGGCCUUGCUGCUGAUUCUUAUUCCUGGGGCAGUCCUUUGCAAAAUGUCCUUCAUUGCCGCAGGUAAAACACCGAUUACUGGCUGUCGGGCGAGGUGGCGUUGGCAGGGUCGGCCGGGGCACUUGCGGCUGGAAGCCUGGAAAACGAGGCGUUGUUGCUGGUGGGGGUCGGGCGAUCCAUUUCCCUGACUGCUGGGGUCGGCCAGGGGUUUGUGGAGGAAUCAUCCGGAACCUUCGAGUCGGCGGACUCGGAAAUGCCACAGAGGCCUUUCUCUUCUAGUCGUCCUUGAGAGCUUGCAUGCAGUCCUCCUGAGAGAUGGCCAGGUUGACCAACUCGUUGUAGGUGUCCACCCUGAUGGGGUUCAGCCUUUCCCUGAGCUCCAAGCUCAGUCCUCGGCGGAAUCUGUCCCGCUUCUUCUCAUCGGUGUCCGCAUGAUAGCCAGCAUAACGGCAUAGGUCAUUGAACGCUUGGGCGUAAUGCAGCACAUCCUGAGUUCCUUGGGUGAGGGCCAGAAACUCGUUGAGCUUACGCUCCAGGAGACCUUCGGGAAUGUGAUGCGCCUUGAACGCCGUCUUGAACUCGUUCCAGCUGACCUCGUGGCCAGCCGGCAGCAUGGCAUGGUAGUGGUCCCACCAAAGCCGUGCGAAGCCACGCAGCUGCUGAGCUGCGAACCGCGCCUUGUUGUUGUCGGGGCAUGGAGCGGUGAGGAGCUCGAACUUGGAUUCGAUCGUACGAACCCAUGCAUCAGCGUCGAGCGGUUCUUGUGUCUUUUGGAACAGCUGGGGCUGUGUCCCCAGAAAGUCCUCGUACCGCGCGAUAUGCGGCUGCUGCUGUGCUCUUCCACCCUGUGGCUAUUGCUGUUGUCCUUGCACCAGAUGCCUUAGCAGCUCAGUUUGAGUUGCUAGGAUUGCCUCCAACGGCGAUGGGGGCGGGGACGGGGGAAGAUCCUGUCGCUGAUCACUACCACUGGGCAUAGAUCCAGACCUAGUGCGGUGCGCCAUCUGCAAGAGUUAAUGCCCCAUUAGUUUCAUAACCUUAGGUGUACUCCAACAAAUGGGAACGUAUGAAUUAAAUCCUUUAAUGCGACUCUUGCCAAUGGUGCAUCACACGUCCUCAUAGAGGAAGCACAUUCCUCCCAUUUUCAGCAUAGAUAACCUCUACUUAUCCUGGUACUCCACUUCAGGCACACAUGCCACAUACCGACUCCUAGAAUCUGAUCCACUCAAACCAAGGGGUCGGACACGGUCCAUACUUCGGAAAGGGUCGGACGAGGCGGAGACUGCCUCAACGGUUGGCGCACUCUGGCUCGCAAACUAGGGUCGGCCAACUGAACAGGCUCCCCGAAAACAGCCUAGGGUUACGACACAACUUACUCCACCCUAGCAUCCACACCAUACGAAAAGGAUAAAACUAUGUACCGGUUGACUUUAUAGACAACGAUGGUUCAACACAGGGAGUACUCAACUCAAGGCUAACCUAUUACAACUUUCCAAAAUCUAGGCUGCCGAGGAGUACAACAAAAAGAAAGAAGGUUCCCUGAGAACCCUUAAACUACCACUGGACACUAUGAGUCGGAGAAGGGGCGCCAUCUUCUUCUAUGUCCAUGCUGGACGCUCCCUCGUCUUCCUCAGGGUCCUCCUGAGCUUCGAGCUGCAUGUUAAGGGCAUGCAUAUCCUUGAGCUCGGCUUGGUGCUCCUCCAGGUGGGCAUUGGCGACUGCUAGCUCCAUUUCCACCUCCAUCUUUUUCUCCGAGAGCUCUAUCAUGCCGUCCACGAGGUCGGCGACUUCUCCUUCUAGCUCGGAGAUACGAUCUUGCAUAUCGUGGAUCUGGAUACCACGCUGGAUUAGCUGGUAGGUUUGGCCUACCAUGUCCCUUCUUGCUGCCUAGAGGUAACCGUGGGUAUCUGCAGCCGUCCGGGCGAAGAGGGUCAUGGCUCUUCCCUGGAGCUCUAUCAACCUGUAGAGGGCGGCCAUGCAUCGGACGUUGGUGGAGAUGGUAACCAUAGCACAGGUAGUGGCCAACACCUCAAUGUUUCCGAUGCGGUCCAGCCAGGCCGGGUCCAGCCGACUCCUGAUGGGGAAGAGACCGAUCGGGUCUAGCGUGAUCUCCACGGGGUGCAACUGACAGAACUGGGUGAGCAACUGGAGGGCGGCGGAUUCCCAUGUGUCUUCCGGAGCAAGACCAUAGGCUAUUAUGCCCAGAGAGGGCCAGUCGGGCUGCGCAAGGGGAGGUGGUACCAACGCUUGCACCUGGCACGUCUGAAUGCCCUGUUCCAUAUAUAACCGCCCGGCAUACAAGGGUGGGGACUGAUACCCAAACCACUGCAGCGUAUCCCACAAAAUCGCGGGAAACCCCUCGAAAUGCAGGCACGUUGACUGGAAGGUACCGUCUGCUCCAAAAACCACAUGUCCGGGAACAGCCAUCUGGAACCAAGAAAAACCGAAAACCACGUGAGAUAGAUUGAAGGAUCAGGGGUCGGAUAGAAAAGCAGACGGGUUUCACCGAGAGCAACUAAGAGAAACUAGAAAUCCUUAGACCAAAAGAACUCUUUCGGACAGGGUUGCUGCUGAGAAAAGGGACCGUACACCCUUUUUAGAUAUGACGCAUGCACGGCCUACCGUACUCUUAACCAAAACAACUGCCCAAACCUUGGGUCUUACGCAGUCAGCGCCGGUGACAAGGCAACAAUACGUCUCUCCCUAUAAUAACUAGUCGGUUCUAGCAACGUCUUAACGAGCGCGGUUAGCAACCUGCAGAAAACACCACACACGAACCUUCCGUGCCAGCACCCACGAAAGCGUUCCCAAACAUUACCGCUCACUAUAGGAACGGCACCCAUGCGUUUAAGGCUGCAUGGACAGCACUCAACCGUGGAAAUAGGCUCCCUUUGAAUGGAUCCAUAUAACCCUUCGCAUACUCGUGAUGCGGAAUCGGCACACGUAUGAUAGACGUGGCGAAACAACCGUGCCGAUAGGUUCGUUAGAAUCGAACCGUACCAACCUUCGUAUGGAGCACAUACGGAACCUGCGCACGUGUAAUAGACGUGGGCGAAAACAACCGCGAAGAUAGGGUCCUUCGAAUGGAGCUCCCUAUCAACCCUCGCAUACUCGUGAUGCGAAAUCCGGCACACGUAUGAUAGACGUGGCGAAGUGCUGGAAGAGUUAGCAAGAUAACCAAGUACUUAUUAGUCACCUAAAACAACCCCCCAAAAUCCCCUAGGGCCUCUCGCACUAAGUCAUCCUUAACGAUCGUAUGAGGUUUUCAAAAGUUUCUUGCAACUUUUAUCCCUUUCAAAGAAGUGUUUAGGGCUCAUCGGGUUCUCUGAAUGCUAAACACGGCUCUGAUACCAGCUGUGGCGGAACCACCUCGGAUUAGCUUGAUUAAGCAAGGUUAAGUCGCCUAACAUGCGACACUCCUGCUUAAACCGAGCUAACACGGGGUGCCGUCGAAUUUCAUCCGAUUUAACCACUUAACAGGAUCGAGUUUAGCAAACCCACACGAAGGUGAGUGGUUACAGAGAAUACAACAAGUCCACUGAGUUAAACAGGUUUCACCUAUUUUAGUUCAAUCCUAAAUUCCAACAUCAGAGUUUUAUGAAACAAAAGAACAACAGAGGAAACACUAGCGGAAGACUUCGUCGGGGUCGGAUGUCCGGGCGAGGCCAGCCAGAACAUCACUGAGUCCUCUCCUCGCCGUCCGAGGAGGGGUCCCACUCGAUCGUCCAGCCUGGCGGGAGCUGGGGCGACCAAGCACCAACCAGAGAGGGGUCAGACGCGGCAACUUCACCUGAAACAGAAGCCACAACAAGGCUGAGCUACUAAGCUGAACAAGACUUAACCGAUAGGAGUAAGGACUACUCCUCCUUCUAGACAUGCAAGGCUUCUUGGCUGAGGGGUUUGUUUGCCAAAAGCACUAAGUAACCCUAUUUCAAGUUUUAGCUCCAGUUCUAGGUUCACUUACCAUUCUAGGUUGUGCAACCUAUUCUAAGCAAUCAUAGAGCCAAACAUGAUGUGUAAACAUAACAACAACAUUGCCAUCAUCAGAUUCCUUACUUACUUAGGGUGACAUAGCGAUCAAGCAAUCUCAAACUGUGAGAGGCAGACGAAUCGAUUCGAGUUCUUUAACCAUGCAUGGUGAACCUAGCCUCACGACAUCCGCGCACCUGGAGGUCGCUUCCUGUGUCGGCCUUCCCCAUCAAUCCCCUAACCCAUGUCGGGCCCAUUUCCUUUGGUGCAAGGUCCCACAGACUCGGCCUCUGCCGUCCUGUGACCACACAUUGCCACCACGUGUGACAACCAGCAGGGGAAACUCCGUUCCAAGAACAAUGGGGCGACCGCUCACGUCUAGGUUCAAUCCGGUACUAGGCUUCCUCAUCCCAUACUAAGUAUGAGGCUAGUACUUUCAAACACUUGAUCACGAACACCACCACUGUCGGGCCUUAGCAAAAUUUUCAUAGACAGACGGGGCGACCAUCCAACCACCAAAGAGUUACCCAAAACCUGCCCCGUCCAUCGUCCUUAUGGUUAUAACAGGAGAGUAAACAUGCAACUCCUAUAACUCGCGAGUGACAGGAAAUCACUCGGCUUUUACCGUUUUCCUAGUUAAGCAAUGCAGCUACUCGGUCCAACAGCUAGUGCUCAGAUCAUGGGUCACUGAGUCAUGCAUCUAGGGUUUCACACAACUCCUAUACGUAAAUGCACAAGCAUGUUACAGAAGGCAUGCGCAAGACUGGUAAAACACGUAGGACUUUGAUGCAACCGGGGCUUGCCUUCAAGCAAGGAGGACGGAAACUGCUCGGCUUCGGGGGCGACUUCGGCUUCGGAGGGCAGAAGCUCGGCUACAGCUUCUUCUUCGGGCGCCGGAUGAAGCUCGUAGAAACCGUCGGCGAGGUGCAGCUCUACACGAAUGUAAUGCAAGGGUUAGCUUAGACGGUUAGUUCAACAGCAACACUGGCUCGCCUGAGCCCAGAAACUCGCGACAACGAGCAGGUGGUGAUGGUGGUUCAAGAGCUGAUGGUGAUCAAAAGGUAAGGGUAGAAGGAACUAGUGGUCUGAUCCUUGCACUAGAGGAUGUGAGAAACUAGGGGUCCUUAGACGCAAGCGCUGAAGGGUUCCCAAGUUUUACACAUACACCCUCGAGUUGAAGAAAAAGAUCACAGCCAAGCCCUCGGGCGAGGCGGAUAAGGGUCGGCAGAACAGACAGGGUCGGGCGAGACGGAACUGGGGUCGGGUGGAUAGGAGGGGUCGGGCGAGGCGGACUUGGGGUCGGCAACUCACCUUCUUCCUGAAAGGAAGGCUUGGGGUCGGGAAGAGGCAGACUUGGGCGGAGGGACUAAAGCUUCGAGCAAGGGCUGAGACUGGCAAUACUCCGGCGGCGACGCUGCUUCUUGCGGAACACAAGAGAGCUCUUACGCAGCAUGGGGGAGCAAGCUGCUGGGUGACUGGAGGAACUGAGAGGGAACCGGGAGAAGAACUCCUCAAGAACUGGGUGGAUGGCGCUAGGAGCUUGAGCAGAGGGAUGGAGAAGCUGAAGGCAACAGAGGCGGAGGGAACUCCGGCGACGGGGGCAUUCCUUUUAUAGCUGCUGGAGCAGAGGAACGGAAACGUCGCGGAAAGAGAGAAGGGGUGCGGCGCGAAGGCCGGGGAGAAGCAAUGGAGUGCUCUGCCGUGGCGGCGAUUGAGCAACCAGGGUGGUGCUGCAGAACUCCGGGGGUGACGCCAGCGAUCAUUGCGUUCUGCCGUCAGGGCGGCGUAGGGGCGGGUAGAUUGGUGGUUGAGAUUUGGCGGAGAGCGGGCGUCGUCGUGCGGAAGAGGCGAUGGAAGCGACCGGUUAAACGGCGCUAGAAUCGAGGGCGCACAGGUGAGAAGACAGGCGGACGCGGGCGCGGGGGAGAGCACGGAACAACAGAUUGUCGGGCGGCGUCUGACAGAGUGGGGAAAAGAACUGUCGCGGCCGCGGUCGGGGUUGGCGGUGGAGGAAUCGUCGUGUAGCGACGACCGGGUGGCGCAACUGUGGCUGGAAGGGACGGAAAAGACGGGCGACAUCGGGCUCUGGGGCCGGGAUCUGGUGGCGUGAUGAUGGGCGCGGGAGACGAGGUUCUGCAGAAAGGGUGCAGAGGGUUUCCGCUGCUAUUGGGGAAAAAGGGGCGCGGGAACCCACCCUGUUGCUUGCUAGAGACAAAACUGGGCGAUGGCGUCGGAGAAGACGAGCCACGCGGCAGGAAGACUCUGAGGCGGCCAUGCAACUCGAGUGCGGCUGGCGCGGGGGAUCUGGAAAGGAUCUCGCGGGUCCACCGGUGGGUAGAUCGGACGGGUGAGGGAGAUCAGCAGGAUCCGACGGGGGACUGAGCUCGCCGGGGUCGGGAGAGGAGCGAAGCAAGAAGGGGUCGGAUCUCAGGGGUCGGGACUUGGCGGAAGACUGGGCACCUAGGUGCGGUUAAGCAAAACAGCUGACUAAGGUUAAGGGCUGAGAUCAAGCCUAACUUGGAAGGAUUAGGGGUCGGUCGUUACAGUGAGCCAGAGCGCCCCCUCCGGCCUGGAACCCGGCUAUCCCCUCCACCCACGCGCGCACCGGAGCACACGACCGGUGGCAUGGCCACCCCAAUCUCCACAUCCCCAGCCAGAUUUGCCUCCUCGUCAAGAGCACCACAUGCGCCUACACCAGGCGCAUUCAAUGCGUUCCUCAACCCAUGCCAGUGCAUGCCUCCUCGGCCUUAUCCACCCCCGUCGCUGGAGCCACACGUCGCCAAGCCACCGCCACACCAUGCUACCUGUCCCGGGGUCUUGCUGUGGCCUCCCCGAGCCCCGCUGGCAGCCCUGGCCGCCUAUAAAAGCCUUCUUGCACCCUUCAUUGCUACCUCACUAGCCAUCGCCGGAAAGUACGUGUGGCGGAACACCUCGGAUUAACUUAACUAAAGCACAUUUAAGUCGCCUAACACGCGAUCCACAUGCUUUAAUCAAGUUAACUCGCGAUCCGUCGGAUUUCAUCCGAUAAACCACUUUACAGGACCGAGUUAGCAUAGCUCACACGAAGGUGAGUGGUUCCAGAGAAUACAACAGAUCAACCUCUUAAACAAGUACAAAUUUUAUUACAACACUGGUUCGAAAAUCAGAGUUUUAACAAGGUUCAAAAGCAGCGGAAAGAUAAAUCGCAGAAGCUAGCGCUGGGUUUGGUGUCCCUGAUGAGGCCGAUUAGGACAUCAGUGAUCUCUUUCCUCGCCAUCCGAGGAGGGAUCCCACUCGACCGUCCACCCAGGAGGAAGCUGGGGAGGCCAAGUGCCAACAGCAGCACACUCAGAAGCUUCAACUUCACCUGAAAGAGAUGCCACAAGCAAGGCUGAGCUACUAAGCUCAACAAGACUUAACGGACCGGUGGGAAAUACUACUCCUCCAACUUCUAGACAUGCAAGGCUCUUUGGCUGAGGGGUUUGUUUUGUCAAAAGCAACUACAGUAGGUCCUUACUUUCAAUAUUUUAGCUCCGAUUCUAAGUUUAUUAACCAGUCUACAUUAGCAGCUUAUGCUAAACAAACAUCGUUCCAAACAAUAUGUAUAUAGAACGUGCAUCAAGUUCAUAUCAUCCUCAUGUUCCAUCUUUACUCAGUGUAGCAUAGCGAUCAAGCAGUCUCAAACUGUGAGAGGCAGACGAAUCGAUUUGAGUUUCUUAACCAUGCAUGGCGAACCUAAUCUCACGACAUCCGCGCACCACCGAGGGUCGCUUCCUGUGUCGGCCGUCCCCAUGGAUCCCCUGACCCAUGUCAGGCCCACUUCUCUUGGUGCAAUGUUCCACAGACCCGGCCUCUGCCGUUCUGUGACCACACUUGUCACCACAUGCAGCCGCAAGGGAAACUCUGUUCCAGAGACAGUGGAUCGAACCGCUCACGUCCAGGUUCAAUCAGGUACUAGGCUUCCCCAUCCCAUACUAGGUAUGAGAUUAGUACCUUCAAACACUUAAUCACGAACACCAUCACUUUCUGACCUUAACAGAUUCAUGUAGACAGACGGGGCAAUCCACCAACUACCAAAAAGAGUUCACAAGGCUCUGCCCCAUCCACCGUCCUUAUAGUUGUAACUAGAAGGAGAACAAGCAACUCCUAUAACUUGCGAGUCACAGGGAACCACUUGACUUUUACCGAGUCCUGUUAAGCAUUGCAACUACUCGGACUUAUCAGACUAGUGUUCAGAUCAAGGGAACUGAGUCAUACAUCUAUGGUUUCAAACCACUCCUAUAACGUAAAUGCACAUACAUACAAAAGAAGGCAUGCGCAAGUUUAGAAAGAUUGGGUUAUGCUCCCGGGCUUGCCUUCGAGCGGGGCGGAAGCAAACUGGUCUUUGGCAUGCUCUACUUCAGCUCCUGGGGUUGGCAGCUCGGCUACCACUCUGUCUUUUGGCACCGGGUGCAGCUCGUAGGUGCCGUCGGUGAGGUUUAGUUCUACACGGAAAUGCAAAUGCAGGGGUUAAACAUUUAGACAGUUAAUUCAACAACACUUGCAAGCUUUAGACUAGAAAAUGUAGCAAAACUACACGAAAAGUGUGGAAAUCCCAGCUUCUGUUGAUAGAGAAUAAGGUAAAAGAGUCGGAUUGGGGAAAAACUUAUGAUCUGACCCUCAGACCUAAGGAAUAACUGUACCGGGGUCCUCAGACUUAACACAGAGAAGUUCCCGAAUUUUACACAGAUACCCUUGGUCAAAAGAAAAGGAUACAACCGAGCCCUGGGCGAGGCGGACAAAGGUCGGGCGAAACAGAUAGGGUUGGGCGAGACGGAAAAGGGGUCGGGCGAACCGGAUAGGGGUCGACAGCUUACCUUUUGGGCCUACUGGUGAAGUCUUGGGGUUGGGAAGGAACAGACUAAGGCGGAAAGGUUUAAGGUGCUAAGGCAUAGGCGGCGAUAGGGUCUGGCGGUGCUCCGGCGGCGGCGGUGCUUCUUGUGGACAACAAGUAAGCUCUAGCACCGUGCGGAGGACACAAACGGCUGGUGGGUUGGAAAAAGCGAGCGUUAAGCGGAGAGGGGGGGUUCCUUAAGAGUUUAUGCGGUAGCGCUUGAGUGCGAAACAGAGAAAGGUGCAGCAAGGCAACGAUGGCGACGGGGACUCUGGUAGAGGCUCUGGUACUCCCUUUUAUAGCUGCGCGGAAGAGAAGGAGUCCGGGCAGUGCGAGGAUCAGGCCGGAAGAGGAUGAAGUGCUCUGCCAUGGUGGCGAUUGGUCGACACCUCCAUUGGCCGGCGAAGCGGAGCUUCGGGGAUAGGGUCUUCGGUCAUUGGGCACUAGAUACAGAGCUUGUGCAGGCACGGUUUUGCCGGAAGGAAGGAUUGGCGAUAGCGAGCGCGGGUCUGGUCGUGUCAAGCGGCGGGUUGGGGGCGGCGGCUCGGCUAGCGUGCGGUAGGAAGGAAGGAAGGGGCACUGCAGGUGAGGGCGCUGCAGGCGAGGUGACAGGGCGAGCGGCGACGCUAGCAGGCAUAGACCAGCGGCUUUGCUGGGGCACGCUACUGGCGAGGCGGAAAAAGGAGUUAUCACUGCCGGAGCCGUGGUUGGCGAAGGCGGUAUCGUCGCGGGGCGCAUGCGUGGGCAGCGCAACUGAGGGGGUGACGGAAAAGUUGGAAGGCAUUGGGACGCGGCCGGGGAUCUGGUGAGGAGAUGCGCGCGGGAGGCGAGGCUGUGUGGCACGGCAGCGGCCAAUCCUUGGUUGUAGCGGCGACAGGGCGCCUGGCACGGCCGGCGAGGUUGCGGGUGAGAUGAGACGAGAUGGAAAGGGCUGCUGGGCGCUUCCGCACGUGAUUGGGGACGAGGCGCGCUGAUCCAUCUUGUCGCAGCUGGCGACUGGGCGAGGCGGCGCUCGUUGGGGAGGCUGAGCCACGCGGCGGAGAGGCUCUGAAACAAGGCGCACGCUUGCUCUGACGCGCCUGACCCGAGAGAUCCAUGGGAUCUAUUUCUGGGUCCAUCCUCCGGUCUUUGGUUCUCCCAAAGUUGGGAAGACACUGGUUUCGGGACUUAGAGAAAAGCUGCUAUUUGUUGGGUUUCAGGGGUCGGGCUGAUAACUGGACUUUAGCGGAUAUGGCUCGAGAAAAGCUGAGUCAACUGGAUUAGGGACUUGUCUUAAGAUUAACUCGGCUAAUAAAACCUAAGUCGUUACAGCCUACCCCCCUUAAAAAGAAUCUCGUCCCAAGAUUCGGGUGUAAGGGCAACCACUGGGGGUGUGCGAUGCUUACCUCCUUGGCUAAAAAGAAAGCCUCUAAAGUGCUUGUUCAGAUACUCCUCUGUUUCCCAUGUUACUUCAUCCUCUGUGUGGUUACUCCAUAGAAUCUUGUAUAUUUUCACCAUUUGUCGUUGGGUGUGUCUCUCCUUACGGUCGAGGACUUUGGCCGGGUACUCGGCAUAGGUCAGGUCGGGUUCAACUUGAAGUUGCUCCUGUUCCAAGAUUUCAGUCGAGACUUGGACACAUUUCCUCAGUUGGGAGACAUGGAAAACAUCAUGAAUGACUGAGAGCUGUUCGGGUAGCUGGAUUCGGUACGCGACGGGUCCGCAAAUUUCCACAAUCUCAUAAGAGUCAAUGUAACGGGGAGCCAAUUUCCCUUUUACUCCAAACCCCAAUUAUACUCUUUUAACCCAUGUUUAUGUAUUUCUAUGAUUGCUUGCUUGAUUUCUUACGUAUAACUACAAUUAUGUAGAAAACAACGAUGCCGGAAACACUUUUGAUGACCCGGAUUAUGAGGAAGAAGCUUUGAACGAUCCGGACUUCAAGGAAGGCAAGUACCACAAAUCAUCAUCAUCUUUUGAUCCCAAGCUUUAUUAACAAAAUAAACUAAGAUAAUAACUAAUUUACUUUAUAAGCUUUACAUAUUUUCUUUAUUUCCUUGCUUAGCUCAUCCUAAUAAUUUUGAGCCCUCCUUGAUAUCAUGAACCCCAUAUACACUAGGUCAUAUCAUGACUCACAAAUCCUAAGGAAGAGUGAGAGUACUUUUAGAAAUGGCAUAAAUGCAACUAAAGUGAGUCUAGCAACCAGUUAAGGCUAGACCCGCGAGUAAGAGGGUAGCCUCGGUAGAGGAUCGUAUCCUAAAAGCUUACUUUAGUCAUAUGAGGACCGGCUCAUGGGAAAGUCUUUCUAGUGGACAGUACAGCCGCGCGUGAUAAAAAGGUACACCCUUCAAGAGUGCCUAAACAUGUGAGACCUAGAUUCACACCCCAACAACUAAACCUAAUAAACCAUCCCAAGGGGCCACAGUGGGCAACAGAUAGACUGGAGCAGGACCUUCGCAGAGUCCCAGGUCUGGUCAGCAUGGGUCAUGAGUUGAGGUCCGUAGGACCUGUUGACAUUGUAUGUCAAGUUAUGAUGCAUCUUUUCCCGGGACAGAGUCCACAAGUGGACAUAGUGUGACCUACCCCAGCCAUAUCUGUGGGCAGAGUUAGGGAAUGUUGUCUAGGAAUAGAUACGGGUGGGUACGGGUCUUGUGGGUCAAUACCACCUCCAUACAAGGUAUGGGCUGAUCGAACGUGCGGGUAAAGUGUACACCUCUACGCAAAGUUAUAAAACUAUUCAAAUAGUUGAGGCUCUCGAUCAAGAGCUCACAUAGUUAAAUCUCCCAUUGAUUAGUUAUAACCUGCUUUAUGAAAAGAGUGAGAUUCAGGCUUGUCCCGGUAGCAGAAGCCAUCUAUGUACAAAAAUUCUUACCUUAGCACUGCAGAAUUUGUUGAACUUGAAGAUCAUGAUCAUCUCGGCAAGUAUGUUCUCAACUGGGCACCACCGUACUUCGUCAUGGAAGAGCUUCAAUUUUAUGAGAAAGGGGACACAGUCUUCCACGAUGUUUGUUGCCGCUUUUUCUUAAAAUUGAAGCUCCUCCUUAACAUCCGUUGCUGCUCCACGGAGAACAUGCUUACCGAGAUGAACACGGUAUGUCUGCAGAACUUGUUGAACUUGAAGACCGUGAUCAUCUGACAAGCAUGUUCUCAACUGGGCGGCACCACACUUCGUCAUGGAAGAGGUUCGAUUCUAAAAAAAGAGGACACGGUCAUGAUAUUCGUAUCCACAGCCUCCAUCGUUUCUGGCUCCGUUGUCCCUUCCGUGAUCACAGCCGAAGCUCCCAGGAAAGCUCCAGUUAUGUCGCGUGCCACUGCUGCCACUGAACCUCGCCUUGAGUUUUUUGAUAUGGCUGCAUCGACGUUGUUCUUAACAAAACCCGUCGGAGGAGGAAUCCAUUUAGACACAUUCCUCUUCUCGCUCAUCUUUUUCUCCGACGUACUUUGACCACCUCCACGAAGCAGUGGGUGGAUAACGGGCUCUGAAAAAUAUUUUCAUGAAUCGCUUUUCGUAUGGCAAACCAUAUAGCUCACAUCGUGAGCACCACUCGUAUCAUGUCAUCCUGCGGUAGACGGAGACGGUCCGGAGUUCAUCAAACAAGCACGCGUCACUAGCAAAAAAUGUUGGGCCUGCUAAUAAACAAUCCAGACCAUACAAGUGGGCCCUUAAGGCCUGGACCUGUCUCUGGGCCUAGAAAGAUUGGUUUCGUUUGCUUGGUUGGAUCCAUGGCAGCUUCCACGAACUAAUUUUACUUAUCACGUUCGCAUCCAUUUCAUCAUCUCCCGUUUUUAUCUUUCAAGUUAAACGCGGUAUCUGAAAAUAAUAUACUCUCCAGUCUCCAAUAUGAUGUAGCAAAACUUGUGAACAUAAAGCAAAACGAUCGCAUUUAACCAAUUAAUGGUUUCAAAAUUUCAACGCCUCCGAUAAAUUUUGACCGAAACUUUUAGCAAAAUCGCGAAUUGUGUUAAUUUCUCCGGGGAACGAAAUUCUAGCCAAACCAAAAGAGAGAACCUGUGUUCACAAUGCAGCCAGAAUGCGGGGAUACAUAUUACAUCUUUGUUCAGUUCAGGUGAAUUAUUGGCCACACCACAAGAGGCCUCAAUUAUUUUGGGUCGCAUAAUGUCGCGAUACAUACCAGUACAAACUUAAACGCAGCACACACCCCACAAUGUGCAGCAUAUACACGUAACACACCAUAUACAGUAUAGAAUACUUGCAGCGCGGACAGAUACGGCGAUGCGUACAGCAUACAUGUACAUAUACGGAGCUCGGGCGGCACGUGGCCAGCACGAGGCCGGGCGGUAGCGCCUGUUUGCAUGCAUGCAACCUACGCGGCGAGAUGUCCUCCUCGACCAAGGCUACUUCGUUGAGACAGCGACCACCGGAACGAACGGGGUGGCGCACAGCAUCAGCGGCGAGCGGCGGCGCACGCCGAGGCCGGGCGCCUCCUCCAUGUCGACCUCGGCUACCCCCUCCGGCAGCGACCAGUCGAAGUGGUAGAGCAUCCCGACGAGCGCGAGCUCCAUGCUGGCGAGCCCAUAGUUGAAGCCGGGGCACAUCCUCCGCCCCGAGCCGAACGGCAGGAACUCGUAGCUGCUGCCCAUGAAGUCGACGCCGCCAUCCUCGAACCGCUCCGGCUUGAACUCCUCGGCGUCGUCCCAGUACUUGGGGUCCCGGCCGAUGGCGAAUGCGUUGAUGACGACGCGGGACUUGGCCGGGAUCGUGUACCCGUCGAGCUCGCAGGGCUCGAUGCUCUCUCGGGGUACCAGCAGCGGCGCCGGCGGGUGCAGCCGCAGCGCCUCCUUGAUAACCAGCUUCAGGUAGCGGAGGUUGCUCGCCUGCAGGUCGGCCUCCGUCACCACUGACUUCCCAUGGAACGCCUCCCGGAUCUGGCCCUGCAGCUUCUUCAUCACCGACGGGUUCCGCAUCAGCUCCGACAUCCCCCACUCCAUUGCCGACGCCGACGUCCCCGUCCCGCCGGCGAACAUGUCCUGCGUGUGUACUCUGGCUCAAUGGCACAGACCUAUCGAUCGAGCUAUGAGACUAGGGGCAAGGAAAUGCUAGGGCAUAUAUACCAGUAUGAUGGCCUUGAUUCUGCUGUUGUUGAGGUGGAAGCCGAAGCCACCUUUCUCCUGCAGGCCGAUGAGCACGUCGACGAGGUUUUCCUCGGCGUUCUCAGCGCCGCUCUUGACCUUCUCGUCGAGGAUGGCCUUCCUCUCGUCGAUGAUCUCCUGCAGGAUGGAGUCCACCGUCCUGUGGAUGUCCUGGAGGCUGCGCUUCAUGCCCGUGAUCUUGGCCAGCACGGUGGUCCACGUCGGGAACAGGUCCGGGAUGCUGAAGCCGCUCGACAGCCCGACGCCGGCCUUGAUGGCCGCCAUGAACUCCGGCGCGUUCUUCCGCUUCUUGCCGAACGCCGCCCGCGACACGAUGCUGUUGGUCAGGCUGUGGAACAUCACGCUCAGGUUCACCGGCGCUGACGGCCCCGCCGCGCGGAUCUCCGCCAGCUUCAGCGCCACCUGUAUUAGUACAAAGUCCGUCACGUCAACAGUCUUUAUUUGUCAUGUUUGUGUUAUUAACUGUUCAGGAGAGUUGCCAUGGACGGCGCCCGGCGUUGCGCUCACCUCGUCCUCCCUGAUGUGGCGGAAGGAGAGCACGCGCUUGGGGCUGAGGAUCUCGGCGGCGCAGAGUUGUCGGAGCUUGCGCCAGUAGUCGCCGGAGGGGGAGAAGAGGAUGUCGGCCCAGUCGUACCCGACGAUCUCGCCAGCGAGGAGCUUGGGCCGGGUGGCGAAGUUGGUGUCGUGGGUCUUGAGCACCGCGCGCGCCGUCUCCUUGGACGAGGCCACCACGAGCGGCGUCUCCCCGAGCCGCAGCAUCAUGAGCGGGCCGUGCGCGGCGGCCAGGUCCCGGAGCGCGCGGUGGGGCAGCACGUUCACGAGGUGGUGCAUGCUGCCGAUCACCGGCAGCUUCCACGGCCCCGGCGGCAGCCGCGGCCUCGGCCUCAGGGCGAGCUUCACGAGCUGGAGCAGCGCGACGGCGGCCACGGAGAGGAGGAGCGACUGGUAGAAGUAGUCGUCCAUGACCGCUGCAGAAGGUUUGCUAGUAGCUAGCUGCUGAGUUUGCUUGCUGUGUGAGUGUGUGGACUGUGGUUGAUGGUUCACUGCCUUGGUUUGGGCUCGUAUAUAUAGCGCAAGUAAGUAGGGCACCGGCCAUAUGCAUGCAUUAUUGCCCCCAUGUCGUCACGAUGGUGACGCAAACUCUCUCGUCAAGGUCCGAGCUUUACUUGAACAUGGAGCAUCGAUCAUGUGUUCACACGCACUACCCUGCAGGCUGGAGGCCAGCGGUCUCGUACGUGAAUAACGUGUGUGUUGGUGCCUAAUGGAAACAAUUUUUGCUAAGCAGAGUACACGUAUGUGUCCGUAGGAUGGCAAGUGUGACUAUUCCAUCCAUCACCGAUCUCUGCAUGUGAUGGCAAUCUCCUGUUGAUCCCGGAGGGAGAAAAGAAAAGCGACCCAGAGACUGCUGACUGAUGAUCGUAGAAGGCGGAAACGACAGUACAGACAGGACCACUGACAUCUCGAUUGCAUUGGUUUCCUGACCAAUUGACGAUCGAUCAUCAGGCCAUCGAUCGUACGCAUGUGAGUGUGACGAACAUGCUGUGCAGUAGAUUGUUUGCUACCUUUACGCAUGAUACACAUGUUCCUACUGGCACGGGUCGGGAGGUAGUCACUACGGGAUUCAGGUCGUCUGCCGUGUCACUCGACAAAGGUCUAAAAAUACUCGGCAACAUUAUUUACCGAGUGUUGCGCUUAAUAACCGACACUCGGGAAAAAUCUUACCAGCAAACAAUCUUUACCGAGUGUUUUUUGUCGAACACUUGACAAAACUUUUACCGAGUGCGAAAAAACACUCAGCAAAUAUUUUUUAAAAAAAUUAAAAAAAACAAAGAUGCCGGCAAGCUCAUCGCCACUCGGUAAAUAAAAAAGCACUCCACAAAUUAAAGAUUUCCGGUAGUAAGUGAUGGAAGCCGUACACGUACGCCCCGAUGGCGCGGCCUGAUCAGCCAAGACGCCUCACCGUGUUGCGGUGGAUUGGAGGAUAAUCCUAAACAUUACUGCGUGCUCGCUACGACGUUAGCGUGUCAAACGUGACCCGUCGACGUGUAUUACGUACCUACCACCUUGUGUCAUAUACAAGUAUACUGCUAUUUGAUUAUGUGACUAGUACUCGGUCGGUCUUCAACACUUUGGGCUAACUCUAGCUAGCUACUGGUCGCGUUUACUAAUUACAUAAUUUUGCAUGCUACGGGGAUCGAUGUGGUGGGCAUGUGAUGACGGACUGAUGAGCUUCAAUCGCUGCCACAACAAACUCGGAGACUGAAAGCUGCAAUAAUGAUGUACAUGGUGUGGAAUAUCUGGAAGGAGAGAAAUCGAAGAAUAUUUGAAGGAAGAAAGGAAUCACCAUUUGCAAGUGGUGUCGUUCAAAAAAAUUUAGAUCAACCUAGGAGGGGUAGGCAAUUUUUCAUUAAUUACAAGAAAUAGGUAUCCAAAUUCGAGCUAUAGGGGACUCGAAUCUAGAUGGUUAGAGUGCACGACCACACUUUCCACUCUAAUUAGUUGAGCUAGACUUAGUUCCUGUGGUGUUGUUCAUCAAACAGGAAUCAAAUGAAUGGAGCAGCGCAGACAAGCAUGCGGCUCGCCGGGAAUAACUUGGUUCUAAUGUUAUUAUUGUAUCCUAAUUCCUUUGAGUUGAAGAGUUCGAUUUUAAUUAUGUAAUAUGACCUAUGUAUCAACCUUAUUGCUUCUUCUACUUAUCAUGAUAAGGUUUUCAAAAAAAAAAUUGCAUGCGCACAGUGGUUAGAUCGAGACGCCGGGCAUAGUGUAUGUUCGCAGUUUAGACGGAUACUACUUGGUUGAGUGAAGUCGAUUAUUUCGUCUUCUCCGGCGAAGUUCGUCCUGCCGGAGGUUCCUUGUUCGUCUUUUCUUUCGAUUUUGGUUUUGAUGGAUCCUUUGCGGCUUACUUUCUGUUGACGCUUUUUUCGGUCAACACACGAAUACACUAGCUCGCGUGUACACCAGAAGAUCACCUCGUCAGCACCGCUGCACUGGUCGGUCAGACCGGUCAGAGGGGCCGGUCAGACCGGUCCUCGCAGAGUCACCGGGAAAGCCUAGAAUCACCACCUCGGGAGGGGCCCCGUCGAAGAUGGCAUGUCUAGGGUUGCUUUGAGAUCGGUCAGGCCACUCAGAGUUUCCUCAAACGCUGUCGAGACGAAGGAGGAAAGCAAGGGGUUAGAAAAGUUAGGGUUUGGAGAUAAAAGGUAAACAUAUUUGUUUGACGAUUGGGUAUUAGCCCUCAAUUGGCCAGGGCCCUUUAUAUUUAUAGGGUGGGAGGCUUUUUCCCGCAAGGAAAUCCCAUUUCAACUCCAAUUCAACCACGAUUCCUAAUUUUGCCUCGAAUUCGGGCUGACCGGUCUGACCGGCUAGGGCAACCGGUCAGACCGGCUGGCUCGUGCAAGACCAGCUAUAGCAACCAGACCGGUCAGACCGCUCGGAGAAACCGGUUUGACUGGCUGGUCCAGCCUGGUCGGCAUUACUGCCACUUUUGGGCUCCAACACCCCCCCGUUUCUUGGCAAAGCUUGCGUGCCAAGAAAUAAACCUAAGGGCAAUGAAUUCCACCGGCCAUUUACUUCUAAGGACGAUAUUUCAAAAUAUCAGCCAUAUUGUUUUAAGCGUCUUGCCAAACACUUAGAUGAUACUUCUUCAAGUACUUCCUAUUCAGAGCUCUCGGUAGCUGAAAUCCACUUAAAGUCUCCACCAUAUAGGAAUUUUCAUGGAGCACAGUUGUAAUCUUGUAUGGCCCUUCCCAAUUUGGAGACCACUUUCCAAAUUUGUUGCCCUUGGUUCCUAUAGGUAGAAUCAUCUUCCAAACCAGAUCCCCUACCUGAAAUGUUUUGGCUUUGACCUUCUUGUUGUAUGCUCUUGCUACCUGAAUUUUGUCUUUUUCAAUUUUCACCAAAACCUCCAUCCGCUUGUCGGUCACCUCGUCAAUUUUAUCCAUCAUCAAAGCAUAGUCGGUGUCAAAAUCAAGAUCAUUCUGCUUAGCCACCCUAUAUGCACAUAGACUAAUUCAUUAUUACUAUGUACUAUUUACUGAAACUUGAACUAUUAGCCCUCGGGAUUGACGAACCGUCAGAAGCCCCGAGGCCCUUCCAAGGUGAAGGAUAAUAUGAAUCUUAUCAUCAUGGAAGUCACAAAAGAGGGCAGGCCAGUUUCUCCCGAAAAAGCGGCAACACAGUACGUGAGUCAAAUCGGGGCAAUCGUAAGGGACAAAGUGCCCAUCAGCAUCAGGGAAUGGAAGGGCAAAAGAAAUAAUCCAUAUGCACUCCAGGAUAUAGAAAAGAAUAUGCUGUGGGAAAAUGUCAAGACACAUUUCACAUUUUCCGAUGGAUAUAAUGAAAAUGAUGUGAAAGCGUGGACGCUGAAGAAGAUGGCCACACAAUUGCAGACAUUCAAGAAGAUGCUAGAUGCAAAGUACCGUAAGAAGGAACGAACUCCGAAUUUUACUAAGUGACCAAAGUUGAGGGACCACUGGGAGGUAUUUGUACAAUACAAGAGGAGCAAUGACGGCAUUCAAAAGGUCGUCACCAACACAGGGAAUGCUGGUCAUAAGGAGUACCAUCAUCGUCUAGGGAGAGGUGGUUAUGGCAAAGCAAUUCCAAAAUGGAAGAAGAUGGAAGCAGGCCUGAUCAUUUGGGGUAUCGUACCAGCAACUUUUGACUAGCCUGAUCGAUCGAAAAAUUGGUAUUGUGCUCAUGGAGGCUCCCUGAGCGAAGAAGAUGGGACACUGAUCUUCACUGAGAUAAUACGUGAGACGGCCAAAAAGCUUGUCGAGACCAUUGAAGUUGUUAAGGCAAGGAGGUUGAAGGUGUUCCGAGAGAAUGAUGAGCUCACAUGGGCCCUCGGGAAUCCUAAAAACCCAGGACAUAUUCGAGGGUUCGGGUUUGUUCCGUGGAAGUUCGCAUUCCGAGGCAACUUGGACACGUACAGAAGCGAGAAGCGAAGAAAGGAACAAGAGGAUGAGAGCUGGCAGCGCACGAUAGAAGCCAAAGUGCAAUCUGUUGAAGUAAGAAUGCAGGAAGAAGUCAGUCGUCGAAUGGCCGACGCAGUUGCCAGCCCUUCUCAACACCUUGGGAGCAGCUAUGCGUCCACAGGGCUCCCUGAUCCACAGACGCCAAGAUUACCCGUGGAUGUGCAACGGUUCCCUAUGGAUACCAUCACGAAUCGCACCACAUGUGAGUUGCAUACACCGGUCAGCAACCUCAGCAUUAAGGUAUACUUAUACAUAAUAUUUAUGCACCGGACGACAAUCUUAAUCCAUCAAUCCACGGGAUCAGAGUUUAAUGCUUGUCUUCAUCUCUUCUAUAUGUACAGGUUGCAUACGGGAGUGCCUUACCAAUCCUGCUAGGGUAGACAAGCCAUGUCCUGGAGAUUCCACCCGGCUAUGCUAGCGUUGGGCUAGAGCAGAUCGCUGAUAGCAAAUAUGAAGACCUAGAGCUCGACAUCCCGCUAAUCGAUGGGAUAACAACACUAGGAGAAGCGUUUCACGGUGUCAUUCUAUGGCGCAUAUGCUACAUCAUCAUCCCUGACGCGGAGGCAUCUCCUCAGAGCUCAAGACCGCUCCCCGCAAAUCCCUAGCAGCGACCAUCUCCUCAAACAUCAAGACCGCCAUCUCCACCAGAACUUGCUCCAGGACCAUCGCUUCCUGCUCGAUCAAGGUCUCCAUCUUCACCGGAAAGAAAAAAUUAAGAACUUUACAUAUUUCGAACAUGCAAAAAUAUAUUAAAUUAGCAAGUAUAUUUAAAAUAAGUUUGAAUCUGUCAUUAAUUCUAUACUAGUUCUUUUAGUUUCUAAAAUAAUUAUUUUAAUGCAUCACUAUCAUCAACAAACUAUUCAAUUAAAUAAUUUUAAAGCGCAAAAAAUUCAAUUGAUGUAUGUGGUUAACAUUGUUUAUAUUGUUCGAAUAAAUCUUCACCUCAACUAAUUUAUACACACAAAUUUAUAUAUGUUCCCCACUGGUUUUGUUAAAAAAAAUAAAAACUUUACAUAUUUCGAACAUGAAAAAUAUAUUAAAUUAGCAAGUAUAUUUAAAAUAAGUUUGAAUCAAUCAUUAAUUCUAUACUACUUGUUUAAGUUUCUAAAAUAAUUAUUUUAAUGCAUCACUAUCAUCAACAAACUAUUCAAUUAAAUAUAUGUGGUUAACAUUGUUUAUAUUGAUCGAAUAAAUCUUCACGUCAACUAAUUUAAACACACAUGAAAUCAUAGAUACGUUAAAUUAAAAAUUUUAUCAAGUAGUACAAUUAAUGUAUAACCAUGAAAUUAUAGAACAUUACAAUAUAAUUCACCAUAGAGCAUUACAAUAUAAUUCAAAGAUUCUGAUGGCUAUAGAGAAUUACAUAAAGGUGAACCAUAUUUAGUGCAUUACAAUGUAACAUUAAAAAACUUCUUCUUGAUGAAAGUUCCUUGGUCAUGAUCGCGGCAUAAGUACGGAGCCUCUUCUUUGACUAGUAUGAUGCUUGGGUCAACUUCGAUAGUGAAUGGAGGCAUGCCAUCGAACUGAUCAUAAUCAUCUAACUGGUCUAUUUUAUCCUCGACUCCUACAAUUUUUCUUUUCCCUGGAAAAACUAUAUGGCGCUUUGGCUCCCAUGGCUCUUCUGAAUUUUUCUUAGGCUUGCUAGACAUGUCAUUCACAUAGAAAACCUGAUGCACAUCAUUGGCAAGGACGAAUGAUUCAUCAUUGUAUCUAGUCUUAGUCUGGCCCACUAUUGUCAUUCCGUACUGAUCUUUCAUUAUGCCAUCUCCAGGUAGCUUCACCCAUUGGCAAUAAAACAGAUGGAUGUUCAGCGAUCCGUAUUCGAGUUCCCAGAUCUCCUCUAUGAAACCAUAAUAUGAGUCCUUGCUCCUGUUGAUGUCUAUGACAUCUAUGUGGACACCACUAUUGUGGUUCGUGCUUUUCUAGUCUUGGGCUCUUAUGUAAAAUGUAUAACCAUUUAUCUCGUAACCUUGGAGUUUCACGAUUGUGCUAGAAGGUCCCCUAGCUAACCAAGCGAGUUGUUCGUGAAUCAUGGAGUUACCCAUAAGGUGUUGACGCAACCAAGAGGGAAAAGUAUCCAUAUGAUGACGUAUAAUCUAGGCAUCGGAUUUCAUCGGGUAUUGGGACAAUAGAAUCUGCUUGUGUUCCUCGAUAUACGGAGCCACAAAGGAUGAUUGUUGCAGAAUAGUGAAGUGUGAUUUGUGGAACAAAUCAGUAUUAUUUCUCAAUCUUGAUUUCCUUCCAAGGGUACUCGUUCCCCGCAGCCUCCCCUCGUGGCGUGAAGUUGGAACCCCAAUCGAAUUAAUUGAGUUAAUAAAAUCAACACAAAACUCAAAGACCUCCUCUGUUCCAUAUCCCUUGGUGAUGCUUCAUUCUGGACGGGCACGAUUAAAAACAUAGUUUUUUAAGACUAACAUGAACCUCUCGAAAGGCCACAUAUUGUGCAGGAAUACUGGACCGAGAUUAGUAAUCUUUUUGACUAGAUGAACUAGGAGGUACGUCAUAAUAUUAAAGAAGGAUGGUGGAAAUACCAACUCAAACCUGACAAGACAUUGUACCACAUCAUUUUGUAGCUUUACUAGCUUGGUUGGAUCGAUUGCCUUCUGCGAAAUCGCAUUGACAAGCGCGCAUAGCUUUACGAGCGCCAAUCGGACAUUCUAUGGUAGAAUACCCCUCAGUGCAACCGGAAGCAACUAGAUCAUCAACAUGUGGCAGUCAUGAGCCUUGAGAUUUGUGAACUUCUUUUCUUUCAUAUUUAUUAAUCCCUUUAUAUUCGAGUACCCGGAUAGAACUUUGAUACUAUUCAUGCAUUCAAACAUGCUAUCCUUCUCUUCCUUGCUGAAAGUGUAACUAGCAGGAUGUAAGUAGUGUUGUCCAUUAUCUCUCUUUUCUGGAUGUAGGUCAUCUUGUUGCUUCAUACGUUUUAGGUCCUGUCGUGCUUCCAAUGUAUCUUUUGAGUUCCCAUAAACACCCAUGAAGCCUAGCAUGUUCACACAAAGAUUCUUCAUAAGAUGCAUCACAUCUAUUGCGUUGCGGACCUCUAGGAUUUCCUAAUAAGGUAGCUCCCAAAAUAUUAACUUUAAAUGCUUCAAAUGUGGUAUUAACUUAGCAUUCGCCUUGUUUCUGAACAAAAUAUUAACUUAGCAUUCGCUUUGUUUCUGAACAAAUGCUUCAAACGUGGUAUUAUAGGGAAAUACCACAUCACCUUCACGGGAACUCUCUUCUUGGGAGGCUAGCCCUCGAUAUCACCAGGAUCAUCUCACCUGAUCUUAUACCGCAGUGCUCCGCACAUAGGACAAGCAUCCAAUUUCUCGUAUUCAUCACCACGAUAAAGGAUACAAUCAUUAGGGCAUGCGUGUAUCUUCUGAACCUCCAAUCCCAGAGGGCAAACAACCUAUUUAGGUUCAUAUGUUGUUGAUGGCAAUUCAUUAUUCUCGGGAAAAAUGUUCUUGACAAUUUUCAAUAUCCCCUGAAAUGGUUUAUCGGACAUACAUUUUUUGCCUUCCAUUGCAGAAAUUCUAGUGUGGUACUCAGUUUUUUAUGCCCUGCUUGCAAUGUGGGUACAACAAUUUUUUGAGAUUAUCUAUCAUGCGGUGCAACUUUUAUGAUUCCUUCUCAGUUUCGCAAUCUCUGUGUGCAUCCUAUAGCACCUGAACAAGACCAUCAGCAGGACCAUCUUCUGCAAACUUGUAACACCUGGUGUUCAAUAAUCAAAGAUAACCAAAAAAGGUUAAAGAUGCAUUGUGGAGAAAAAGAGAAAAAAAUUGACUAAAAGUCAAAUUCAAGUCAAAUUUGACCAAAAUUUGAAUUUUUGAAUCUAAAUUCAGAAAAAGUUGGCAAAAAUAUGAAAUGAAGGCUUGAGAGUGUUUAAAACUUCAGGGAUUAAGAUUGGAGACUAACCCUAGUCCUAAACCUCUCAAGAAAUGCAAUUGAAAAAUGAAAUCAGGGAAGUACUAUUCACUGUCCGAAAAUAGCAACUUCAGAAAAACAGCACAAGUAUCCAACUUGGAAAUAAAUUUCUGCCAAAUUUUCCAAAUAAGUGGACAAAAACAACUACACAACAAUGCAGUAUAAUCUUUGGACAAGUAUAAUAGGGUGUUGUUGGUCAAGAAUAGUAAAGGGAUCAAAUUCAAAUUGAGGCUCAAAGUCAGCACCUUGCCAAUUUUGGCCUAAGUACUGAAACUGCCUGUCUCUCUAAGUCUGAAACAGCAGCAAGUGCCUAUGUUUGGAGCGAGAAUUAGAGAGAUGUAGUGCAAGAGGUAUAGGUAUUUAUGAGCAAAAUGGGAUCUCUGUUAGUUGUAGAGCAUGAAUGGUUAGUAGUUGGACUAAGAGGAAUGAGUUUGGGCCACUGAAAAUGAAUCAAAAGAAGGGUAAAUGGCCAUGCACAAUGACUGUCGAACUGAAUCAAAAAUUCAGGGCAUUUCAGUUUGCCCGAGAAAGGAAUUAAAAAUUGGCAACCUUAGGAUGUUUAUCUCGAGAGGAAGUUUAAAUAUAAAUCAAAGAGCUCAAGUUUAUCUUCAACUUUGCUUAAGCAACUUGUGGACCGUCGGAAUUAAAAUCGACCGUGGGAGAAGUAUGAAGUUUCGGGUGACAGAAAAGAAAAAGGGAAUGGCAGUCAGCAGAACAGGGAUGUGUCACCGCCGGCGCCUUCACCUGUCGUCUAGCUCAACAUCUAGGUACACCUCUUCACCACGCAAGCCUACGACUAGGCCACGGUGUCGUCCAUGCGUGCGGUGAAUCUUUCGUAUAACUACCGCUCCCGCCGCCGCUUCUUACCGUGCCGCCUUUUUACCGCCACCCGUGACUCUCUAUCAAGCUGCCGCCACCGAUCAAUUUCCCCGCCACGACGCCUUCCCCGUCGAUUCCUUUCGUCCACACCUCCGUUCACACCUUACCAACAGCCGUGCCUACUUGUUGUCCUGCUUUUUCCGCCGGCGAGCUCCUAGCUGUCGUCGUUUCCACCCGCCGCCGCCAGACCUCCUGCUCACGGUGAGCUUCACCUUGCCGCCACUCUCCUUCCUUGUGGUAAGCCGUAGGUAAGCUUUUGGGGUACUAGGAAGCUAUAGGAGUAGUUGGGGGACCGAGUUGAGCCGUUGCCGUGCUUGGCCACGGCCGGCCGUCGGUCAGGCCGCCCGCUGCCGUGGAGAGGGUAGCUCCGGCCAUCUCCCGGGGAGCCGCCGCCGCCCACGGGUGCGUUGUGGCUUGGGGAUGCCUCCCCAACCGAGCCCCAUCGCCAGUGGGGCGCCGGCCGGCUAGCCGUGCCGUCCCCUGCCGCGCUCUAUUUUGGCGCGAGGGAGAAGAAGGUGCUGGCGUCGGGGGGGCCGCGCGUCAGAAGAAGAAGGGCCGGCCAGCGCAGCGGAAGUGAGGUGGGUCGGGGUCCAGCAGGCCCAGGUGCUGGUGCGGAGUCCGGUAAAGAAAGAGGCCGAUGGGCUGGUGUGGCAGGCCGGGUGCCGCGAAAAAGAAAGAAAAAGGAAGCUGGGCCGUUGGGCCGGCAGGGAAGUAAAGAAAGGAGGAGAGAAGAGGAAUCGGCCCAGUGGGCCUAGUGGCCGGCGGGUAAAAGGAAUAGGAGGCGGAGGUGGACCCGAGCCGCGGGCCCAGCGCGAGUGAGAGAGGGUAGAGAGGAGGCGUGUGAGAAAAGUUGGGCCGGGGGUUUUGGGAUAAAAUUUAGAUUUUCUUUUGUUAGAAUAAUAGAUUAAAUUCGUGUAUCACCUUUUAAAUCAUAGAAAUUUCUAGGAGUGUCCAAAAUUAGUGAAACCAAUUUUGUUAGGAUUAUUUUAUUUUCCUUUAUGCAUUAAAAUUCUUAUACCUUAGGAAAAAUAAUAAAAUUUAGGUAUUUGUUUAAUGCCUUUUCAUUAAGGCAUUUCAAUAAAUACUUAACCUUUAUUAAAUGCAUAAAAUAUGGGAUAAUAUUUUCAUAUUCACAAAUUAUCAUUAACCCAUAGGAGUUAGGUUUUGAGACUAGAAAAUAUUUAUAAUAUUUUCUAAAAAUAAAAGAAAAAGCCUAAAGUAGGAUUAGUAAAGAAAAUAAAAGUGAUGGGUUAAUCUUUUCGGGUUUUUGUGUGUUGGCUUGCAACUUUAUCAUGAUAAAUUGUGUACUCACUUGUUGGCUUGCAACUUUAUCAUUGAGGCAAGUUGUAUAGUCUUGUAUUCAAAAAGUUGCAUCACUAACCCAUGCAUAUGCUACCGUAGACACCGAAGCACCUGAAGAGGAAUUCUUGGAAUUAUCAGAAGGAUCUUCGGAGUUUGAGGAGAUCGUUGAAUUGAUCCCCUGCGAAACCAAUCCGUCGGACAGUGCUAACAAUUUUAUAGAUCAAGGCAAGCCCCGGUGCAUUUAUACCUAUCUACUUUGGAGUUAUUAUUUCAUGUGUCCAAUUAUUGAUUAAUUUCUACGUGAAUGCAUUAAGUCUAGGAGUUGAUUGAAACCCAUUCUUGUGCAUGAUCUUACCUUGUUUUAAGGACAUCUUUGCCACUUGUUCAAACAAUUAGUAAGUAACCCAAGUUUAGAAAUGCUUAGAUUCUUAAAGUAGCUUAGUUACCGAACCUUAAGGUGAAAUGUUGGGUCAUACAUGCUAAUUAUGGAAAGGUAGCUUGGAAGUUUGAAAGGCAGACAGAAGUUAGAGAUGUUAGUUCUGUCUGCUAGAUUAAUUCAGUUAAGGCCCGAUCGUUGUCUUAACCUUUGAUCAAGUGAUUGUCACCUGGUUGCUUACUGGGUAUGGGACCAGUAAAGCCCGGUAGGUUAGUAGACUCUCUGAUCGGGAAUAUUUCGUACCCGUGCUUGACGUGCUGGAGAUUGGUAGGGGCGUAGCCUGAAACUCACAUGGAGAUCAGGCCAGACAUGGGGUCCCAUGUGGGGGUGCGUCCCUGGGUUCGGGUAGUCUUAUUCCCAAUCCUUGGGUUUACUAAUCGAAAGGUCGUUACGUACGACCCGGACAGUCGUACAUAGCUGGUGAUCAAGGUGCUCUCUUGCAGGAUGUUAAUUGAUACGGAUCGCCGCAAUUCUCGGUUAUGAAUGCACUUGAUCACUGUUGAGCAUCCUAGUAUGAUUGUAGUACAAUCUCAUGAAUACAAUGUCUCAUUGAAAUUAAUUUGUUGUAUGACUUAAUUUCCUAUUGCCUGCAAAAAGUAUCUCUUUGUCAUCAUCUAGAUUGGUUAGGUAAUGACUUAAUUAAGUUAAAAGAUAAAGUUAAGGCCUCACUUUUUAGUAAGCUCUUUUGGCUAAAGGUGAGUUAGCCAGUACACUAAACAGCUAUCAUGUAGUUCCAGAAAAACUAUUAUAUUGGUUAGUCGGGUAAGCUUUGCUGAGUACCCCGUACUCAGGGUUAUCCCUUGUGGCUGUUUCAGAAGCACAGCAGGAAUCCGCAGAGGAGGAAGCCCCAAAAACUAGGGUAUUGUCACGAGUCUCGCAAUACCCUAAGAAGAAAAACUUAAAUGUUCAUCUCUCACCUGGACCAGUUUAUGUUUUAAACUCCUCGAAUCCCUCUAACCUGCACUGUUAAGUUUAUUUGAAACUAUGUUCUGUAAUAAUUCGUACCCCUGUAUGUAUGUAAAAAUGUAAUAGAUGUUAAUGCUUUCCCAUCGUGGAAACGAUCCUGGUGUAUGGCUAUGAGACGUGACGUGGAUCUUUCAAGGAGUCCUAGGGACACUCGACGGACUACCGGACUUAUACUGUUUUAAGUGCAUUUCGGAUAAUUGCUGUUCCGACAGCGAUUAGGCGCAUUUAAACCAGUUUAAGUUGGGCGGUUCCGCCACAAAACUCAUCUUCAUCAGCCUCGCCCAUUGUAGUAUCUGUUAAAGCUUAGCCAGCAGCCCAGUCCGGAAUAUUGUUAUCAUCCUCCUCUUUUUUGUCGUCUUCCAUUACAACCCCUCUUUCACCGUGCUUGGUUGAAACCAAAUAGUUAGGCAUGAAACCUAUCCUAAACAAGUGGCUGUGAACAAUCCCCCAAGAAGAGUAGUCCUUGCUACUGCAUUGGAAGCAUGGACAAUGUAUAAACCCGUUCUCUGGCUUGUUCGCUUUGGCCACUUCGAGAAAAAUAAUUCAAGCCAUCAACAAACUUCUUGGUCCAUCUGUCCGCGUUAUACAUCCACUGCCGAUCCAUCUGCAUCGUAUUACAUGAAAAAUGAACACAGAGCUUCGUAUAGGAUUAUUGUUGAUAAUAUUUAGUUCUUGCAUUAAACAUGAGAUAAAUAAAUUAUUGGUCAAAGAAAUACAAUUAUUGUUAAAUUACAUUGACAUGAAAAAUUGUAGCAAUGACCAAAUUCUAUUUUCUUACACCUACAAUUUAUUUACAUUAAUUUUAUUGCAAUGACUAAAUAUUAAAAAUAUAUUUACUCUAUUUUUUCUCGUACCUAAUAUUGAUCAAGUUCUUUUAACUAAUACGAAUCGUAUAUAACAAGCAAGCUAUCAUCAAAUUCUAGCUAAAAAAUAUGUAUAAAUAAAAAUCCUCUCCAUUCUCCCUCAUUCUAAAAAAACUCAUUUUCCUGCCUCUCUAAAGCAUAAAACAAAGUGUAAUAACAAUAAAUGAAGGGAGGAUGAAGUAGCUAACCUUCAUAACACUUUGGAUGACUGAAAUCCCCAUGAAAAUGAGGAAAAAAAUUCGGGCAACACCUCCCCUAGGUUGCUUCGUCACCAUGGAGAGGAGGCCGGUGGAGUGGAGUGGCUCGGGCUGAAGGAGGAAGAGGAGCUCUCUGUGUGACAAUUUUAUAGGGAAGGGGAUUUUUUCCUGGUUCGAAAUUUCAACCGGGACAAAAUACAACCCCUUCUGUCCCGGUUGGUGGUUUUUUCCCGGUUGGAACCGGGACAAAAGACAUACCCUUUUGUCCAGGUUGGAAUUACCAACCAGGACUAACUCUUUUGUCCCAGUUGGUAACUCCAACCAGAACAAAAGGGUAGGCCUUGGCGUCGGUGCGAUUUUUUCGAUCGUUACAACCGGGAGUAAAGGGGAGGCUUUAGUCACGGUUGGUAUUUACAACCGGAACUAAAGCCUCCCCAGCCCCCCUCGUGAUUUUCGAUGGCACGUCACUUUAGUCACGGAUCUAAUAUUAAUUGGGAUAAAAAAAAGUGGAUGGAAGGUCAGUUCUCUGCUUAGUGUUCUCCCACUCAUCAUCCAACACUGACCUAAUAACAAAACCAAGAGCUGUUCGUGACCGCGGAGACCAAAUGGCCGCAUUCUUAUGGUAGUGGUACAACAUGAAUAUAUUAUACUAUGCAUGUGUGUAAGUUUAGUUUUACAGCGCAAUUUAAUUUGCGGUAGGACAAUAUGCUGCAUGAUUGUUUUCUAUCUCAGCGUCACAGCCUUUGGUGGCAAAUGGCCUGUCGGGCCACUAUCCUGAAAUCUAGUCAAAUUAGACUAAUUUAACUGAGAAAAAAAAUCAAAAUAUCUUGUAUUUCAGGACGGAUGGAAUAAAUAAGCAUUGGAAGCUAUCAUUGAGGUAUGGGUGGAUGGCUCGUUACCUCCUCCGAGGUAACAAGUCGUUACAUUCUGUUUAAAAAAAAAGUCAUUACAUUGUCAACCUUUGGAUUAAACUUAGUCUAUUAUUGGCAUUUACCCCGCAUAUGAGUUAAUCUUUUUUAAAAAAAAUCAAACCCUUUGGAGAGCAAAGUAGUGCCCUUCCUAUAUGAGAAUAUACAGCAAUUCAUGCCACAAGAUUGCAGUGUCACUAAACGCACUCCCCGCAGGAUCGAUACUAUCGUGCAUAAAUGUAUGUGCCGGUUAAUGUCACACAUGACAGCAGGUUCAGAGCGUGAACUGAAAGGAAGUGAGGGUACUUUCACUGGUUGGAUUGUUCCAGCUGACACUUUGCCGAGCAGAUGCAGGAAUCUUGUCCUUUCUUUCCGCCCACCCAACUAUAAUAAAAGUUAGCUCAAUCCAAGGCAUGUGGGUGGAGCAUUGAGCAACCCAAGGCCUUCAUUUCACCAACUGCUCCGCUUUGAUGAAUAUUUUUUUUUCUUUCUAGCUCGUAAUAACUAGAAUUUGCAACAAUUACUAAUCAAUCGAAAGAAAAAUCAGCAGAUGGUCCAACUGACAACCGAUGGUUAGAAAAAUCAUGUGCUUCAUGGAAAUUCGUGCAUUCCUCUGGUUUGAUCAUUAAGCUACUAGGCAUGUAGUAGUAGAUUACCCCUAAAGCCUCAUCGCCAGAAACAUGAAUUUUCAUUUGCGUCAGCCGUUGGCGAUGAAAACUCGUCGAUCUGCGUUGGCAGCUCUGGAGUGCCGCAUUUGGCUUGGCACGUCUCGACCAAGGAAAACGUAACGAAGAUAUAUAGGGGAAAUUUUGCACGUCCCAGCCUUGCGUAGCUGCACGCAGCGGCGAGCACAGACGCAGUUACUUGACGGCUGACGCCGGCGAUGCGAGCAGCCAAUGUCCACACUCGUUGAACAAGAUCCGAUCGAAGCCGCGUGCAUGCAUUGCGAUCUGCCAUUUGCGAGAGCAGAAACGGAAGCGAGGAAUAGGAAGGUUCAGGCACUCCUAGAUCUAGAUUAAAGAAAAUAUGUUACACCAAUUAUACUGGUAAUUGUGAUACGUACUCCUGCUCGUUUUUGAAGUGUUCGAUAUGGCUACUAACUUUUGACAGCAUUAUCAUACUUUACUUUUAAUAUCAAAGACAAAUCUAGUAGUAUUAUUUUUUAUAUAUAAUCAAUCCGGAGGGAUUAAAAUAGGUGAAUACGAACUAUAAUCAGUUUAUGGUAUAGGUUUCACCAAAACAAAAAGGAAAAACUAUAAGAACCAUACCUGUAUAUAUACAGAUUUUGAUUUCCCCACAAGUAAUUUUAAGUUAUUGCAAUGGCCAUCCCCUACAUGAUUUUUGUUGCAACUUACUACCUCCGUAUCAAAUUAUUAUUCAUUUUAACUUUUCUAGAUAAUCGACAACUCAUUAACAUACCACUGAACCACUUUUUAUUAACAUAAUGAUGAUGAGAUCCUAUUGCAGAUUAUGCUACUAAAUCCUCUGCUCUUUUUAGGUGCCUUAUUUCUCAUAUACCAUAAUUGUUUCUUCAUUGAGAAAAGGAUUUGACGACCACCGCCACGUGGCAUUGCUCCGUCAACCUUUCACCCAUUGCCAAAACUUCCCAGCUAUUGCCUCCCGUACGAGUCUAGGCUGUGUCGCAGCAAAUAUAAUCAAUAUUUAAGUUAGAUAUUUUUAGGAAUAUAUAAUCCUAACACUUUCCACGGAUUUCGCUAAAUGAAUACCCAACAGGAGCUUAAAUGUUGUCGUACAAAAUUUUGCUAUUUACAAAAGGAGGCUAAUCUAAGCAUUUGUUUUUGCUGCAGAGCUGUUCAGGAGCUUGCAUUUGAAACAAAUGGCUUAUGUGGAGCAAUCUAAAGCUCCAAGUGACAUGUGAGUUGCCUUUAGAUUUUACAAUUUUUCCAAAAUAAAAUAAAUAACACAAUAUUCAAACAUCUAAGUCGAUAUAAUGUGGUUCAACCUUCGCCUUAAAUUUUGAGAAACUGGACAAAGCGAGUGGAAAUUAUUUAUCAGCAAUCAUAAUGGCGUGAAACAAUGGAUGCUUCUAAAAUAACGCUUUAAACGAAUUCAGAAUGGAACGGGAGCGGAUGAACAACGCUAAAGAAACAUUCUACUGAAACAUGCUCCAAAUCCAAAUCCCUGCAACAUGUACAUCAAAAGAAAGAUUUUUGCCAUCACCUGAUAUUUCUUUUGAACUGCAGAACCCCCACCGACCAUAAUCCAAGCCGGAUAUGUUAGCAGUCAUAAGAUCAUUUACAGAUGGACAAAUCCCAACAAAAAUAACACAAUAGGAAGUCCUCAAAAUGCACAUACAGUUUGCAGAGUUACAGGGAUUUCAAAUAACAAACUCAUCACUCUGCAAGAAACAAAUCACAUGCUUCUUUUCAGAAGAGGAAAUCAGAUGAGAGAGGUGUUUGGGGCAGGUCAUUACAUGCUUAUAUGUGAAGCGACACGGCUAGCAGGUUCUUGCUAUCUACAGUGACGUCAAUGACAACAAAGAAGGCCAAACUAUCUUCUAAUCUCACCAAAACAAAAUUGAUAUGCCCAUCACAGAGCACCCAAUGGCUACCCAGGGGCUAAGGCGUUCACCUGAAAGGCAAAUGGUGAAAUAUUAGUUAAUUCUUUGAUAAGCUACAAACAAAUGUUAACAUAACAUGCAGGAAAAGUAUAAGACAUAUUUCAACUGUGACUUCAUAAAAGAAAAAGAUAGUCUCCAGAUGGAAACAAUACAUAUAAAAGCUUUGGCCCUGUAAGACAUAAUUAUAUAAAAAUGCUGUCUCAGCUUGACAUAGAAGUGAAUAGAACCUAACUCAGAAAAUAAUUUAACACACCCACUAAGUAGUCACUGCAACAAGAUUGUUCCCAUGUGUAAACUUGCUAAACAGACAUGAACGUAAAAACACCCAUUGAAUGGGCCUGUCUCCCCCAUACCAUGGAUCAUAUCAACUACAUGCAUUCUAUGCAUGUUAUUCUUGUGGGUAUUUUUAACUCACAUUCUAUGAUUAUCAAGUGGUUAAACAUCAUUUGAAACUUCCAUUAGAUAUCUAUGAGAUAUGUCAAGCACCAUAAAGGUUAUCAAGAUGAUUCAAGUGCUUAAAGCGUAGAAAUGACAGAUUAUUAUAUCAAGAUUCGGUAUAGUAGAAAAUGAAGGUAACAGCCAUCCACAUGCUGAUUUAUCUCCACACAAAUUCAUCUAAUAUAUAGCUCAUAUGUCAUUUCAAGAGCAAGCAAAAUUCUUGCAUAUAGUGCAUUUAAUAACGGUAACUGCCAUCCACGAGCAAGCAAACUUUUCACUUUUGUUUUUUUCUUUAAUAUCAAUUCUUGCAUAUAGUGCAUUCUACGCAUAUUUGACACAGUAUUCACACUUAUACCAAAGUAUAGGUCAAUAUAAGAAUUGAAACUCGUAUCAAUCAGUUCUUCCUUUUUUUAGUCCCUUAUCAUUCAGUUCUUCAUCUAUCAAAAGGAUAGAACUUGUAAAUGCUAUGUGGACCACAACAUCAAACUUGCAUCUUCGUACUCAUCUCCCAUUGCAGUAAAAGAAAAAACCACCAACCAAAUUAUCUGUAAAGUGUCAAUUACUAUUCGUAUAUAGACUAUUUUCUUAAUGAUACCUCCCAUUCAGUUUAGCGUCUUUCUGGCCCUAGGGCCUAGGCAAUUCUCUGCUUUUUCAAAUGUUUCUAUUUUGCCCUGCAUUGCAUAUACAUAUCACACUAGGAAUGCUCAAUUUAAUAGGAACCUUUAUAUAUUAUAAGCAGUCAAUCAACACCUAAUUCAAUGUUAAAUGCAAAACCGCAAACUCUUGC
RNAcentral lists this long non-coding RNA (50342 nucleotides) under Setaria viridis. RNAcentral's name for it is "long non-coding RNA (SVIR_LNC000314)". Lineage: Eukaryota; Viridiplantae; Streptophyta; Magnoliopsida; Poales; Poaceae. The record is from RNAcentral.